Molecule: long non-coding RNA, 85571 nt
Filed under: Malus domestica (apple)
Lineage: Eukaryota; Viridiplantae; Streptophyta; Magnoliopsida; Rosales; Rosaceae
Description: long non-coding RNA (MDOM_LNC001056)
Source: RNAcentral
CAUUUUCUUUCCUCCAUCUCCCUUUAAAUACCAAUCUCACUCACCGUUCCUUCCCCAAACUCACUGGCAAACCCACUGAUUUUUCACUUGUGAUCUUCUUUCUCUCUCUCUCUCUCUCUCUAGAAACCCAAGUAAUCAGAAGCACUAAAGAUACCAGCUUUUUAGAGAAAUGGCUUCUGUUUCUGUACCUGCAGCUGGCGGCAGUGCUUCUACUGCAAGUGCUUCUCAUCACCACCCACCUCCUUUUUACUUCGACGAGAAGUGGAAGCUGUCGAAGAAAGGAGGGUUGUCGAGAUCGAGCCGUUCAUCAUCUUCCAGUCAUCUGAUGAAGAAUUCAUCGCAGUCGAAUCGACGGUGCGCGUUUUCCAGAAAGUGUGCGAGGUUGGUGAAGGAGCAGAGAGCUCGGUUCUACAUCGUGAGGCGCUGCGUCACCAUGCUCAUCUGCUGGCACGACUACAGAGAUUCAUAAACUGAGAACAAACAGAGGAGAGAGAAAGUUGCCAUCUUUUGCCUCUGUUUUUGUUAGAUCUUUUUGGGGUUUGAUUGCUGCAGAAAAAACCCAGUUCACAAUCAGUUUUUGUUCUUGAGGAAAGAGCACGAGGAGAAUGAUUUAUACUUGUACAUAAAAUUUUGCUCUGUUUUUAUUUGUAUUUUUAAUGGGGGUUAAGAAUAAUUUAGAUUUUGAAUUUUCUUUUUUUGGGCCUCUGAAUCUCCAAACAAAGGAGAUGAGAUGGGUUCUUGAUGUUAAUUUCACUGCUACUAUCUGAGAAUUAUGAGAAAUAUUUCAAUGAAAAUAGGGCUCUUGAGGUCUAAUUCUUAUUCUUCCUUCCUUCUUUUUAAAUUAUUAAUUUGCCUUUGCAAUUUAUGGUUAAAUUCUUGUGCUUUUUUAAUGGUUUGGUUAAUCAGUUGGUCUUGAAUUUUGAGUUUGAAGAGAUGGGGCAAUGGUUGAAAUAUUAUAUCUAUCUCAAAGAGAGGGGAGAUUCCCUUCAACUGUGUUGCAGGCUUGCAGCUGAUGCAAUUGUGGAUCUGGUGAGCUUGGCUGACGCAAGUAGGAUUAAUAAUUCAUUAAAUUUGUAUUUUCCUAAUUUUUAAUGUGAAUCAUGGAAGUUAGGGAUUAAUAUAAAAUUGAACAAGUUGAAAGAAUGACGGUGGUUUUCACACUUCUGUUUUCUUCUUCGACCCUCGUUUCCCUUAAUUUUCACGCUUGAAGAUAACGAAAUGGAAGAGAAAAACGUAGUUUGAUAACCAUAUUCUUAUUUUUCUUCUUACAAUAUGAUGUUCAAUUGUAAGUUACUCUAAUUUACAGAGAUACAACUCCGAGCUUGAAUGUCGAAGAAAGUUUCAAAUUCACAAGCAAGAAAACGAGCACACUAGUCUACCCAACUAUUCACGUUUUUUAUCAUAAUGCACAAAAGAUGCCCUUUUCUUGCAUUACAAUUUCAAUGUCGUACAAAAUAUGGUAAAAAAAGUUGUGUGCAACCAAACUAAAGGAUAAUGCAAUCGGCUUGUCACUUCUACCUCCAAUGCUUCUGCAAUCAAAAUGACCAAUUUGUCCUAGAUAUUUUAGGCGUUUGACCAGUGGAGGACCACUUUGACCACUAAUCUGGUAUAGCUGGACAGGGGUAAUCUUGGAACCUUCACCCUGGCUUCAUCGUUUGUAUAUAUUUCGGUAUCCAGAUUCCUCGGCUCGACAUGUGAGGGAGUCUGAUUACUAUGCAUGUGAGGGGGCAUUUUCGUCAACUCAAAAGUUUACAGCUGAUUUUGUUACUAAUGCUACCUUGUGUUGUGCUGAGAGUUGUCCCACAUCAGUGAGGGACAAUGUUUGCUAUGUGCUUAUAUGAUAUUGGGCUACUUCCAUAUUGUCAAUUGGUUUUAUGGUGAACCCCAAUUUCAUCAUGGUAUCAGAGCGGGUUGUCCUCGUGUGAAGCCAAAUGGUCACACGCGCUUCAACUCACCCAGUUGUUGUCCACGUGUACGCUUGAAAAUCCGCCACACGUGCGAGGGAGUGUUGAGAGUUGUCCCACAUCGGUGAGGGACAAUGUUUGCUAUGUACUUAUACAAUCUUAGGAUACUCCUAUAUUACCAAUUAAUUUCAUGGUGAAACCUAUUCAUCAUCGUGUUUCAGUUAUAUUGAAAAAUCUCUCUUUAUAUUGGGAGUUUCAUUUCCAUGGUGAUUGUGACCUCGUCAUGGAUCUGACCGUUCGUUAAAAAAAAUGGAAGCUUUUUGAAAUCUUAAAGCUCGAAAUUACUAAAAAAAGUACUGUGACAUUAAUAAUAAUUUACUAAAAUAAGUAAAAGCUAGAGUUAAAUACCUGAUUGGAGUUUGAGAUUAUUUUCUAGUACGUUCAGAUAUUUUUUUUGUAUAUUAAGAUUUUCUGCUAUUAAAUUUGUAGAUAGAGUUUAACCACAAAGAUAUAAUAGUUGAAAAUUAUAAUGUCACAAAAUGCAUCGAUACAUAGUGGAAUUUUUAAUGUUCGUGAGAUGUGAAAACUUGAAUUAGAAGGAACUGGUUAUUGGUAUUCGGGCACAUUGAUAAAUUUCUCAUGAAAUGACAUAGAAGGGAGUGGCAAGUUGGCAUACUAGCUGACACGGCAGCAGCAACAUCUACACAUGAUUCACACACUCAACGUCUUUCCUUGAUAAGAAAGAAAGAAAGAAAAAAAAAACAAAGAGAGAGAACGAAUAUUGCUCCGAGUAGAUAAUUCGUAAUUUUCCUUUUUAAAAAAAGCAAGAAUAUUGUUUUUCCUUGCGUUCCUAAACUUUUGUAGGAGUGCGCGGUCUAAAUUUGAUCGAGUUUAUUCUAAAAUUGAGGAGGAAUAAACGAUAAUUGGUUCGAUUGAUUUAGUAGAAAUUAACCAUUGCGGAAGCUAAACCAAAACAAGCUGAUUAAAGGUUUGUUUGAAAGUGUGUUCAAAAUAAUUGAAAUCGCCUUUGAUAAAAAUGAUUUUGGGUUCUAAAAACAUUUUUAAGUACUUGAAAGAAGCACCAUAUAUGUAUUUCUUACGAAAAACACUUUUUCCAAUGUCCACUUGGAUUUCAUAAACAUUUUCACCAAAAAUGCUUUUAAUCAUUUUAAAAGCGCUUUCAAACGAGCCCUAGUUUUAAAUGAUUUGUUCAAUUUGGUUUGGGCGGUUCAGGUCUAAGUCUGUUUCUUUUUGGCUCCAUUACUUACUGAAUUGCAAAAUUUACAUAUACAUAUAUAUAUAUAUAUAUAUAUAUUAUGUAUGUUGUGUUAAUAAUAUAUAUAGGGUUAAAUCUUCCAUUAACUAUGUUGUGUUAAUUAUGUGUCACUUAGUACUACGGUCUAGUGGUAUUCUUCUUCGCUUAUAAGUGAGAAGUCUUAAGCUCGAUUAUCGUCAAAAGCGAAUUUGAACCACAUUAUUGCUUAUUCAGAUUUUUUUUUUUUUAACGCAAAGAUUGAAGAGAAAUGCUAAGAGACUCUUCAUGAAUUAUUUGUCAUCUCAUAGAUUAACGUCAAUUUUUAUGUCAGAAUACAUAAAGAGUCUCACUUUUAACCGAUUUUAUUUAGCUAGCAUUUCUCAACUUUAUAUUUUGAGGUAGGGUUUUGUAAAACAGUAAGCCUAAUCAUAACUCGUGCAUUACCGCUUCCCACGAUUUUUUCCAUAUGCCUUUUUGCUAUUUCGUAGGCUUUUCUUUUGCUCUCUAUCUCCAUCUCCUUCUUAUUUUUUUCCUUUUAUAUAUUUUAUUUAUUGUUAUUUUCUAUGGGUUUUGUAUAAUUUAUACAUCUAUUGGUUGAGCAGGUCAAGGAGAAAGAUUUGCUUUGCUAAAACGUGAUCCCUUUUAUGCACUUUAAUUAGAGGCAAUCAAACAAACAAGAUCAUGCUUGAUUAGGGUUUUGACUGUUAAUCAUUGGGAUUAAGCUUGGCGUGCCAAAGGAUUCGAAAACGAACAAAAAAAAGGGGGAAAAAAGGAUCUCGCAGUGGACUUUGGAGAGGUAAUCCGAGGACCCAAUAGAUUCAUUAAGGAAAAAGUGAGAAUCAAAUCUCCACACAAAUCUUAACCCACUUUUUCCUUUGGAUGAUUAGAAAUGUUAGUGGAUUUUUGGAUGUCUUAAACAAAAUCAUCCUUAACUGUAGUUUUCCCACACACACUUGAUGUUGAAGUAUUGUUUACUUAAUGUGAAAAUAGAACUACAUGAUAUCAAAAGCUAGAGUUGUGUUAGCAGAAGUCGUUGUAUGCAUGUGAGUGGUUAUAAUCGAUUUAUACAUUGUACGAUUUGCUUGAUUCAGCCAUUGAGAGUCAGUACGAAAUCGAUUAGUAACAUCAUGCUAAAUGUAAUGCAUGAUAAGUAUAACAGUUGUAAAAUUUGUUAAGUACAAUUGCUUAUGCAUAAGUUAAUGAAUGUAUGUUGUAUGUCGUAAAUGUAUUGUGAGUCCACCAUGCAUUAAAAACUAGGGUCCAGAGUUAGGAAGCUUGUACGAGAGAUUCUUGACACUUUGCAAUUACAGACACUGACCCACUCUUAUCCAUUUCUUUGGGGGCACCAAUAAAGAUUUUUCCAUGCUUUGUGGUCCCAUCAUAGAAACCGGAAAAGGAUUCUCCGGAUCCUUUCCACCAAGUCCAUCAAAGCCACAAAUCUGGGCCUUUGAAAUUUGAUCUAAGGGUUACAAAUAAGGGCUCACUUCAAAAGCUAUAAUAACUUUAGCCGUUAGAUCAAAUUUUAAAGGCCUAGAUUUAUAGCCUUUAUGGACUUGGUGGAAGGAAUCCGAAGAUGAUCCAUUUCCAUAUAAACCAUACUAAGUACUUCCUCUAGUAUAACACUUGAGAGAGAAAAUAAUAUCGACUACCAUUUUCUUUUCCUGCACACACUAUCGAAUACAUGUUGAUCAGUAGUUUAUAUCUUUACCUUAACAUAAAUUAUGCAACAUGUGUUAGUCACUAUGUGCUAGCUUAGAAAUACCUUUAAAUGAUCGAAAACGUUUUUAGAUAAAAUGUUUUUUUUUGCAAAAAGCAUAAGUUAUGUGUGCUUCUUUUAGGAAUCACUUUAAGUUUUUUUUUAGGAUUUACUUGUUUUUUUACUAAAGAUUGGUUUAAAAAAUAUACCAAAAGUAAUUUCAGCUAUUUUAAAAGCACUUCUAAACAAGCCAUAUAUGUCUUUUGAAAAACAAAAUAACAUGCACUGAAUUACUAUUGUAGCAUCAAGUGAAAAUACGUGGUAUAAAGUUAGGCCAUCUCUAACCGAAGUGCUAAAUAUAGUCUCGUCUAGAAUUAUAGCCCUACAAAAAAUUAUUUUUAAAUAAACAGUGUCAGGUUAUAUAUAUAUAUAUAUAUAUAUCAUUUUCAACCGAAAUGGCUAAACAUAAUCUACUUAAUAAUUAUUAAUUUUAAGUUUAUACUUUAAAUUUACUGAUUAAUUUAAUCAAAUUACCGUAUGAUGUUUUUAAAUCUAAAUAUUAAAUUUGAAUCAAUUAUUACAGCAAAAAAGCUGAACCACAUAAAGGGGCUAGGCGUGGGCUACAUUUAAUCACCCUGAUACCUUGACUUUUGAAUCUUUAACCCUCCCUAUUGGAGUCGGUCUUAUCAACAUUGUUGAUUAUCCUUUCCAAUCUAAGCACGCAAAUUAUUUACCAAAAUCGUAAUUAUCAGCCACUGGCAUGGCCUUGAUUGAUGCGUUGGCAGAAGAAGUAGAACAUUCUGGAGUGGAGCUGUGUCUAGUCAACGGUCACAUCACGGAGUCCUGAACGACAUGAUAAGCUCUCUGGAUCCUCAUCCCUCGAAUUUAAUCAACAGGUGGCACCACGUCAACAAAUAAUCAUCCAAAUCACGCUCUGCCAUUUUGGACCAUUGCUCACUUGGAGCUUCAUCUAGGACCCCACGAUGGAAAAGGAUCCUCGGAUCUUUUUUCUGGGGAUUUGAAGAAUUUCGUAAUCAUGUUCGUCUAUCAUAUAUCGUGCAGUAAAAAAUUAUUUAAAAUUUAAAAUUAAAUAUAAAUAUUACUUAACAAAAAAUGAUCGCACAAUAAUGAACGGAUCAAAAUCCAAAACACACCCCCCCCAACACACGAUCACGCGGGAACUAACCCCCUACGUGGGUCCCUGUCGUUCCAUGCUUCAUGCAGUUUCCACAUCAUCAAUGUUCGAGAUUUUCAUGUGAACUGAAAAGGACCGGCUUUUCGGGCCGAAAUAUGGGUAAAAGGGCCGGCCUUUUAGUUUUCAACUGGAGCCCAACGGCUAUUAAUGGGCCAGUGGUCAUCUUUUAUUUGUACACUAAUUUAAAGAAAUUGACUCCAUUUUGUGAAGGCUUUGGGCUUUUUCUUUCAACGCAUAGUGUGGACUCAAAAUGCUCUAUUUGUGUUCAUUUUCGAUGUAUCUAAGUGAUAUUUCUCUUUACUUAUAAUUUUAUGUUUAGUUUUGUAUAUUAUGAGUUUGAUAUCAAUUAUUUAUAGCGUAAAUAAAUCAUAUAGCUUGUUUUUUUUUUAUGGUUUUUGAAAAAUGAUAGCAUUAGUAUGUUAAAUAAUGAAGAGGGAAUGGUGUGGAUUUGCUAAAAAUCUAAUGAUCGAUUUUUAUCAUUAUUUUUUUAUAUUAUCUAUUAGAGAAUUGAUUUCACACAUAUUAACCCACCUAUUGAAAAUUCUUGAUUUCCCUAACUAAAUGUUUGGACGAGAUAAAUAACAUUGAAAAUUUAAUAAAAAACCAGAAUUUAUAAAUUGACAUGCAUCAAUUUCUUUAUUUGGAUUUAUUAACAUAAAAUUUAGAUUUUUCGCAUGGACAAAGAACUAGGAAAUUGGGACCACCAAUUCCCAUGUUUAAAUUCCAUGUAGACAUGUGUCAUUUCUAAAUUUCUAUGAGUGAGAGUUUAAAAUAACGAAUUCUGUAUUCAAAUUUUAUUAUUUUUUUAUGUUAAGCAAACAAAAAAAUUUACAAAUCUUAAAAAUAAAAUCUCAUCAUUUCAAUUCCGUCAUUUUAAAAUUACUUUGUAAUCUUAAAUUUUCUGUAUUGCAGGCAAAUUUGAUAUCAUACGCACAGGCGCGUGGGAUUUCAAUAUCAUAAAAACAUCGAAGUAUAAAAGCCCCAAGUUUCUGCGUCGAGCACAAUCUACACCAAAACGCCCAUGGCCACCGAAGCUCCCGACUAUACCACCCGAUUUAUCGUCCCCGUUUCAACCCGACAACCCAAUUGCUCCACUCCGUUUUCGAAGCUCCUAUAUCGCGUCGAAACGGGUCAGUCCAACUCUCUCUCACACUCUCACUCCUAAAAUUCAAUGUUUAUUUUUCUAUGAAUUUUUGCAGUAAAAUUGGUGGAUUGUAGUUAAAAACCCUAAUUUGAUUGGUUCAGAUUCAGUUACUUGUUAAUAUCUGUUUAGAAGAACAAAUUUUAGUGCUUUUGGGAUUUUGAUUUGCAGGGGUGUAUUCAAUUGAGAAUGUGAGAAUUUUAAUAGAUUUUUAUGGAGUUUAAUUGAUUUGUAGAUAUUAUAUAUAAAAUUUUGAUUCAAUUCCUUGAAAUCUCACGGGAAGAUGUGAGAUUUGUGGAUGCUUAAAAUACACUACGAAAUCUCUUCAAUUCCCUCUAAUUCCUCAACUUUCUCAAAUUCUUUAAAAUCAAUUUCUAAUUGAAUACGCCUGGAAUGUCAUAAACUUCUUUAAAAUCCUAAUUGAAUACUCCCAGAUUUUUAGGGAUUUUAAUAAACUAUCUUAAAAUUCUAAUUGAAUACACCUAGAAUUUCAGAGAUUCACUUGAAAUUCUGAUUGAAUACCCCUAAAUUUAUUAAAAGAAUUAAAAUCCCUUAAAAUUCCAAUUGAAUACACCCCCGUAAUUGUAUCUAAAACCCACUAGGGUUUUGAACUUUUGAUGAAUGCCUUGCAAUUAAUCACUAGUUAAUGGUAAUUUAAUUCCAAAGGUAAAAACUUUUUGGAGUUUUUAUUUUUAUGCUCAGUAAUGAUGUGGAUUUGCUUGUAUUUUGGGAAUUUUCAUAUCCAUUUUAUCAUGCCAUGGAUUAAUAUUUGUAUAUGACAUGACCAGAAAGUUGAAGAUUGCAAGUGCUGCAGCCAUGACUGAUGCAAUUGAUUUAUCUGGGGAUGGCGGUGUUCUCAAGAAAAUUGUAAGGCAUGCAAAACCAGAUGCAGCUACCCCGACCCAAGACCUUCCGCUCGUUGAUGGUAUUGACUAUAAUGCCGUAGCUGAUUGUGUUUUUUCUGUUGUUGGUUUUGUGACAAUAUUUUCUGGUUAAGUUGGGUAUGAAAACAUUGCAACUUAUCUUUAGUUGGUUAAUAUGAUUGCAUACUUUAUGUUGGGCAGUUCAUUAUGAAGGCAUUCUUGAGGAAACCGGCGAAGUCUUUGACACGACGCACGAAGAUAAUACAAUUUUCUCAUUUGAGGUUGGGAAAGGCAGUGUGAUCAAGGCUUGGGAUAUUGCAGUGAAAACCAUGAAGGUCGAAAAACACGCUUAUCUUCAAGGAAAUUUUGGUAGUGUUAAAAGUGUCCUGUUACAUGUUUUCUCUUUUGUUGGUUGCAUCAGGUUGGGGAGAUUGCUAAGAUCACUUGCAAGCCAGAAUAUGCCUAUGGUAGUGCGGGUUCUCCACCAGAUAUUCCACCAGAGUAAUGUCAUUGUUCUAUUUUUAUGUCAAAAUUGUUUUUUAUGGACACUGGGAGUGCUAGUAGCUCCGUUAACUUAAAGAUAUAUUUACGCAUCGAUGUACCAAAACAACACUGUCCAGACUUAAUUCUUACCCAAACAUGGAUAGUAUAUGCUUAUUGGCAACUAUUGCAUCUUAGUUUAUGAUAUAAGAGUUAUUUGGUUGGUGAUCUUUGAUUUCAUAACUUUAAACCUAGAUAUAUGUUGAAUAGAUGUAAAAUUUCCGGAUGCAUGUUGGAAAGAAAAGUACAUAAACUCCGCGUGGUAAGACUUCUCCAGGAAGAGUCUUCACACGCGAGUAUAUGCCAAUUUGUGUGUUGAGUAUUCUGGUUUACGAUUGCAUCCAAGUGCUUGUAACAGUCUGCUUCAAUUUGCUUGGUCAAUUAUCUCGAUUUUCUUGUCACAAAUGGUCUCUUUACAAUGUCCUUGGAACUAAUGCAUUGUAUAUUACAAAUGAAUCCUGCAGUGCAACCCUUGUAUUUGAGGUGGAGUUAGUUGCUUGCAAUCCUCGGAAGGGAUUAAGUUUGGGUAGUGCUUCAGAGGAAAGGGCUAGGCUAGAGUAAGCUAUCUACUUUCAUCUUCUCCGCGACUUAUAUUCCAGAGAUAUACUGCGAGCCUUACCAUCGUCAUUACACUUUUUGUUGAUUCUGUCGAGAUCUACCAACUUUUUCAUCAACAGUAGGUUUGAUUGAAUUUUUCAUUGGUACUCACAACAGAGAGCUGAAGAAACAGAGGGAGUUAGCUGCUGCAAACAAAGAGGAAGAGAAGAAGAAGAGAGAAGAGGCGAAAGCUGCAGCUGCCGCUCGUAUUCAAGCCAAGUUGGAUGCCAAGAAGGGCGGAGGAAAGGGAAAAGCAAAAGCAAAAUAGCACUUAGUCGCAGACUCGCAUGUUUGAACGAGGUUGAUCCUUCUGAUCAAGUAGAUUCAAUAAAUUGGGUUUGUUUGAAUGUACUUUUAAAAUGACUGAAAGCGUUUUUGGUGAAAAUAUUUUUAAAAACAAUCCUUAAUAAAAAUGUUAGUAAAUCCUUAAAAAACACUUAAAAUGCUUCUUAGAAAAAGUACAUAACUGAUAUUUUUUGUACAAAGCACUUAAAGUGCUUUUGAUACCUAAAAAUAUUUUCUCUAAAAACAUUUUCGAUCAUUUUAAAAACACAUUCAAACGAGCCCUAAUUUAGUUGGACUAAUUUAGUUCGUGAGUCCGACUGAACAAACGAUGACCUUUUCCCUGGUUUAGUGUGUGCUAUAAACUUUUGCCAAACAUGUUUUGGAUCAAUAAAUCGGCCGUGGUUGGUUCACCGAAGGACUCAAGUUAGACUGGAAACUUCGAUUGUUGUCCAAGUAAGGCACACUAACUUCAACAACGUCCCUCGCAACGAGUUUGCCGAAGGCAGAAAACUUUUGGAGUGCUAUUUAAAAUAUACACAACAUGCUUGUUUUGAGGGCAUAAUAUUCAGCCAUUUCCAGUGCCUAUAUAUCAAGAUAAUUACAGCAAUGCCAAUGCUGGGCAUAACCUUUGAAUCGGAUCCAUCAUGUGCCUAACUAUGUAGGUGGGUACCCUACUUCUACUAGUUACACUUAUGAUUUAAACCCUGUAAGAGGCAUCCAUUCCAUCUUGUCCAUUUUCAUGCAACCCUGAUCCUGCUCGGAAUUUACACACCGGGCAGGUUCCCUGCUGCUUCAGCCAUGGAUCAAUGCAACUAGCAUGGAACUGCAGCAAGCAACAGCAAAAAAACACGAUAAUAAAAACAAGACUCCUCGAGUCUGAUUAGCUAGAGAUCAACUCUUCCGAUGAUGUGUUUUCAGUUCACAAUUUGCGUGAGUGUCACAGAGUGUCUGGUUAGGGAAUGUGUGUGCGUGUGUGCAGGGUCGAGAGGAACCAGAUGCAUUUUGUAGUUGGAAUCAAUCACACAUUUUGACUCGGCAUCACAAGAAUUUCUUUGCAAACAUUUUAGCGUAGCAAAAACUCCCUAAAAAUCGCAACUGAAAAAUACAGGAAGAUGGAAAAAAUAAGCCUAUGAAUGUCAAAGCACUGAAAAGAGAACCGAACCUGAUGCAAGCAUGGAAGGCUGCGGAUUAGUUCUCCCACAGUAACUUGCUCGAGGCAAACGCUACAAGUCAGUUCAUCUUCCAUUGCUUUUGUGCUCCCAACAGCGUCGACAGUUUCUUGCGUCUUCUGCAAAAUAGAUUAGAAAUAUACGACGGUACAGAAUAAAUGCAAUGCUAUCAUAUGAUAUGAGAUAAUAAUGUACGCAAGUUUCUUCUGUCUGUACUCAUACAAAAUGAAAUGCAGGAACAUCUUUACUUUUGAAGGGUGAAAAAUACAAAAGGAAAGAGGGGCAAUAUAUAGUCAAUACCUCAGAAGGUACUGAAGAUGAAGCUUGUUGCAUCGAUGAAGCGCCACUGCAUACAAAACAAAACCAUUAUAAAACAAACGUAUUCGAAAUGCAAAGGCUAAACAACUAUGAUUCAAUUCUUUUUUCAUUUGCCCCUAAAAUCUCUCAACUCUGUUGGUCUAUCUCAGUCACUCAACCAAAACAAAAACAACAACAAAAAAAUUAGAGAACUUACUUUUGAGGACCCACAGCCUUGUAUUUAUGGACUGGAAGAGCAUUUAUCUCUUCCUCACUCAUAGAAGAAGCUGCUGGAACAUUAUCGGAAUCCAGAGCUCGCAAAGUUUCAUAAUCUGGUAUGCAAAGAAGAGUAUUUACCAUAAACGUAAAGGCAUAUAAACAACUUUAAGAGAAAAAUCUAUGGUUUGGCUAAUAAAAAAUAUUGAUAGCCAUGUAUUGGGUUUCAAGAUAUAAAAAUCAUUUUAGACGGGAUAUAACUACCAACCUAGGUCAUCAAAUUCCCGGUCAAGAAGUGCAAGCUGAAGUCUGAGGCCUUGAAGGCGCCCUCUUGUUGCUAAGCUAAUUGAUGGUGGCAUACGCAACCGCAAUUCAGUAUGGCCAAGAAGGCCACUGGCUGCCGCUGCAUGAGCCUGUGCUUGAGCUUGAAGUUGUUGACAGGUUGCAUACAUCCUUAAUGUUGUAGCCAUCAAAAAGACACCAAGAACUAGCCACAGCUACAUGCAUAAGGAUGUUUAAAUUUCUCAUAUAACAACCUAACGAACAGCAACCUUGACCAGUAAAAGUAGCAAAACAAUUUACAUACGCUAUUAAGACAAUACCAGAAAAUUCGGUGACAUCUGGUGUGAGUUCAGUAUCAUGAAUAGCAAGAGAACUGGCAAUUUGCAAACAUAUAAACAGAAAUCAGAACCUACUAACAUAAUUACAAGACUAAAAGGACAAAGGAUAGGAUUAUAAGUACCUGUGACAAGAAAAGCAAGUGAGUUGGAAUUGACAGAGCGUGGUGGAUGAACACGCUGAUACAAAACAACCAAUAUCAAUAUAAAUUACACUAAUAACUUUGCCCCCUGUUUCCCUAGACAAUUUACAGAGACACUCGCCAUAAAUUAAACCCCAUAACUCACCCUCCACCCUUGCUCUCAAGGGGGAGAAGGUGAAAUUAGGCCCAAAGGGGAUUAGCAACUGCGAAAAACAGCUCAUAUUGCAUACACACUGGCCAUCGAUUAAACCAUGAAACUCAAACCUCCACCCUUAUUCUUAAGGAAUAAGGUAAAAUUAGAGCCAAAUGCAAUAGAAACUAACAACUAUAGCUAAGACCAUAUACAAAAUUUGUGAAAGACAAGAAAUGUACCAUUGCACGGCGCUCUGGUAUGAAUUCCGGGAACCCACUUUCGAUAUCCGCUCUGGUGCCCCGGAACACAAAACUCAUGUUUGUAGAGUUCAAAAGCCUUCUGCUGAAACAAUGAAGUCACUGACUUUCCAGUUCACAGAACCGAAACACGCAAAAAAAAGUAUGUAAACAUACAUUCAGUCAUUCAGUCGUCGUAACCAGUGCACAAGGCUCCCGUUUUACGCAGAGUCUGGAAGAGGUCAAUGUCGGCUAACCUUACCCCUAUUUAUGGAGAGGCUGCUCCCAAGUCUCCAAUCCGAGACCUACCGCUCAUGGGCGAAGGCACUUGCCAUCGCACCAAGGGCGAAGGCACUUGCCAUCGCACCAAGGGCGAUCUCUAAUUCAAAAACAAAAAGAAGCUAGUUUGACGCAAAAAACCUUACUCAAGAUUCCCAACUUACAUGCAGUAAAAACUCAACUGAAAUAACUAACAUCCAAUUAACUUCAAAUUCCUGAUACAAAAUCACAAUCAACAAAACCCUAAUCCCCAAAUCACCAAUCAACAAAUCCCUAAUCUCCAAAUCACAUUCCCUAAACUAUGCAAUUAACAAAAAAAUUUCUCUUUUGAGAAAGAAAAAAAAAACAGUAAUUCAGGUCGCAAUUGCAUGCUGUGAGAGGUGAAGAAUUACAGAGGCAGAUUGGAAGAAGCUUUCAUAAUUUAUGAUCAAGAAAAUUAAAGCGAUCAGAGAUUACGAGGAGACUGAGAAAUGCGAGGAGAUUAAAGACUUGCCGGGAAGAAACGACUUUGGAUUGUUCAGAUUACAUGAACCGGCAGCGUUUCACGACAACGCCGUGCAAACGUUUCUUCGGUGGAAGAAAGGGAGCGAGUUGGAGUGUGCAGAGAUUUGAGUCGACUCGGACGCGUUUUGCCGCGUGUACUCUGUUUGGUUAGUCUAAUAAAGCUUCUUGUUUUGUCUAUCGGGACUGUUUGGUUAGUCUAAUAAAGAGAUUAGUUCAAUUACUGUUUCGUCACGACGCCGUUUGUACUCUGUUUUUCCACUUUGGAACAUGGACUGUUACGUCAGGUAUCACAAUAUAAUUGAAUGAAAAAAAAUUUAAAUUUGUAUUGGCCCGUGUUCCAGCCCACUAAAAAAUCUCUCCAUUUCGAGAUUCCACAAUCAGCAUCCUGUCUUAAGCGCACCGUUCCUUCUUAUCCAUUGGAAAUUCAUUUUGCCCCCUAUAUUUGUUCUACACCUAUGAUAUACGGUAGUUAUUCCUAUUUAUGAACUUUACUGGAGAUGCUCUUAGUGGUACGAUUUAAUAAUAAUCAUUUCACUUGUAAGUAAAAAUAUUUCAAGUCUGAUUUUCGAGAAUAGUGAGUUCUCAACUAAUUUAUUCCAUCAUCUUCAUACGUAGAUAUAUCAUUGUAUAUAAAAAGAAAAUAACAAGUAAUUAGGUUGUUUAUUAGGGAGAGCAAGUUCAAUGUAAUAGGUUCAUCAUCACGUGGCGUUUCAAUCCAAUAACAUGUUAUAUAGAAAAAUAACUUAAACGUAAUAUCAUAUUAUUAUAUCUGAAUGUCACUAAGCGACCACGUUCCAUGUAAGUCUUCAUAUAGAAUUGCCAUUGCAUAAUUGACAAAAUCACAAUUCAGCCAAAUAAAUUGAAGUGCGAAAAUUGAUGUAUGGUUCUAUACUACAAAUCAAAUAAACUAAUUUUUUACAUUGCGGUACUCAAAGUUAGAAAGCAAAUUGUGCAAUCCCAUGAAUACUGAUUGAUCAGCAACUUUGUGCAGGCGUGAAAUUUUUUUAAACUAAUUGUUAACUCGAUACGAAACGAUACAAAAAUAACAGAUUCGAGUAUUAGUCGAGUCAUUAUUGGAUCAUACGUUAAUAUAAUGAGUAUUACAUGUAAACGACACAAAUACAACCAAUUUGUUAAGUCUAAACAUUAGACAUGAUAAUUUCAUGUAUAGCCCAUUAAGCCGACAUGAAAAGACAUGAACUGUUAACGAGUCAGUCGUUACCGAGCCAUUUGUUAAGAAUGCGUUAAAAUAUCGAGUUUGACACAACAUAAUUAAUUAAGAUAAUGAAUAUGAUUAAAAAACGACACGAACAUGAUCUAGUUGUCUAGUCUACCCUUCAUCAUCCACCUGGGUCCCACAGACAAUCCAAAAUCACCAUCGGAGUUGGAAUCUUGGGAAAUGGACACCGCACCCUCCUGCCCUCACUAAAAAAAAAAAAACUCAUUACCCCAACAGAGAUUCAGAGAAUCUCACUGUAAUACAAGUUUAAAAUUAAACUAUAUGAAAACCCAAAACAGUACCCCCAAAUUUAUGUUAAUUACCCAAAUUAUCCACACAUGAACCCAUAAUAUCUGAACAAAAUGGGCCACCUAUCUAGCACCAACACUAUGUUGGCCCCCAUCACGGUCCAUUAUAUGAGAAAGACUUACCUACGUAGGAUAGUAUUCUAAACUAAUAACAUAAGGUACAGACUGCGAUAGUAUUUAAAUCAAUAACGCGACGAGUUUUAAUAUAUUUUUUGUUAUGGUGCGUUAUUAAUUUGAGAUACCUUUACAAUAACGUAGUCGAAGGGUAAGUUAUUCUCGAGAAUAGACCCCACCAAAGAUUUGCCAGCUUAGAUCCAGCAGGGGUCCCACUUAAGCACCUAGAGACCAAGCUUUUGACUUGCAAGUUCACACCUAACCUCAGCCACUCCUACCCUAGACUUCUCCAAAUCAAACUCCAUCCACACGUUCUGCUGAUGAUAGUGACCAAUCACAAACGCCUCUAUGCCCAGCAAGUCGGAGUUCCCAUAUGUGAAGCAAUACACCUGAUUCCCGCCCCUCACCAUUCCCGGCACCCGAUACAGCAGCCUUUCCCCCGAGACGCUCAUCUCGGCCCCCCGAAACAUCAGCGUUACUGUCGGCAACGCGGGCAGACUCGGCCGGUUCGUCGGGACUUGGAAACACAAAUCGAUCGCUCCUUGGAACACAAAAUUCGGGUCGUUCAAAAUGUUAAGAACCGGUUUGGUCUGCUGAGUGAAUUCCUUUUUCAGCGCGGUGUAAACCGGACCGAGUAGGAACGUGAACUGGGUUCCCGAGUCGACCAUUGUUUGACCUGCCCCGGAAUGGUCCGGUACGAAAACGGACUUCGGGAGCGGUAACAACUUCCCUCCAACCCGGAUCCCCUCCAGCUGGACCGUGUACGCUACCCGGUCGAAGUACGGCAAUGGGGUUGAAAUAUGAACCAGUGGGGUGUAAUUUAACGGUUUGAGCCAAUCGAAUUUCGCUUCCCCGAAAAGCAAAACACCGGACGAGUCGCGACCCGAUAUGCAGUAGGAAAAUUUCGGAAAUCCCAUCUGUGUAACGAAGGACAAUGAACCGCGGUUCAUGCCCAUUAACCCGGUUGUCUUCGCGUCCUCUUCAGCGUUCGAACUGGACCCGGAAUCCAUGCACCCGAAUAUGGUACCGGGUUGGGCGGACGACCCGAGAUUGAAAGUUUCCCAUGCGAGGUUACCUUCGAUGGAGGAGGCGUCGACGUAGGAGAGAAUGGAGUGGCAGAGCUUUUUCGGGUCGCAAGAAACGGGUGUGGGGAAGUCGCGGGUUCGGGUCCGGCAGACGGGGGAGGAGCAGGGGACUGGGGAGUAGGACUUGGAGGCGAGUGGGUUGAAGACAGAGUUGAAGUUGGGGGCUUUUUUGCAGCGAAGCCACGAAAGCUCGCUGCCUGUGUCGAGGACCAUGGUGACUUGCUGCGGCGGAGAGCCGACGGAGAGGGAGAUUGUGAGGGUGACGUUGUGGUGGAAGGAGAGCUUGUUGGUGGAUUUUGGGAGGGACCCGUGUGGGAGGGUCUGUGUUUUGAGGGGCAGGAUUAGAGUUUCUGGUUUUGGCUCAGAGAAACAGAGGGUGGUGAGGAGUUGAAGAAGAAGGAGGGGGAGGAGUAUGGGCAUUGUUUCUGGUGAAAUUACGAAUCGGGGAACUGAAUUCGGACGGAAUGUAUGUUUUUUUUUUUUUUUGUUGGAGUUGGGGAUUUGAACGUGUUGGUGUUGCAGGGGAGUUUGAUAGAGUUUGUGGCGGGGUCUUUGUAUUUGUUAGAGUUUGUGGCGGGGUCUUUGUAUUUGUUGUAGGUGUGCUUGUGAAUGGGGCCGAAAGGUCCGCAUGAGGAGAAAUUUUCCAACGUUGCCAGAAUACGGGAUACAUCACAUAUCAUUAUAAAGUGAUAUUUACUUAAAAAAUAAAAUUUUAUUUCGUUUAUAUAAUGAUAUAUGAUGUACCAUCUGUGUUUCGAGAAUACUUAACAAAUUUUUGCUUGCGAGUGCGUGUGAGUGUGGUGUCUUGUAAGUGCGCUCUCUCUCUCUCUCUCUAUCUAAAUUUGGUUUAAGAUACUUAUUACAUGCAAAUCUCAUGAUUAUGUAUUUCUACCAAAUAAAAGUGAGAUGGCUAAGAAAAUAAAAGAGAUGUUACGCAAUCAAAAGUUCCGAUUUUAUUGCAAGGGUUUGUAAUAUUAAACAAUUAAGAACAUUUACUUGAUAACCGAUAUUUUCUGAGAUCAAAGGUGCAUUUGGUAAGCUCUUCCAAUAUUCCUUUACUUUACAAUCUAAUAAUCCUUAAAUGUACUACUUUUAUUUAUUUUUAGCUCAUCUCCCACCUGGUUGAGCUGCCUGAGAUCAAUGGUGCAUUUGGUAAGCUCUUUCAAUAUUCAUCUCCAAAGCCGAUCAGAUGCUUUCAUUCAUAUUCCGUCUAAGCUCUCAUAAAAAAUUUGUAUUCAAACAUCCCUCACGUAUAUAAUACUUUUACGAUUGACAGCUUGGUUUUUGCUCUUCUACUUUCUAUUGCUUGGUGAACAAUUUAAAGGUCGAAUUAUAUUCUGUAAAAUUAGACAGCUGCUGUUUUUUCAUUUGCUUUUCUUUUGCUUGUUGGUUACGAGCCAUGAAUAUAUAUUAGUGGCUGGACUGUGCUUAAUUCUUUUCUUUCUCGUUGAUUAAGCUUCGAAUCCAACAACCCCAAAAAGAGGAUUAAAAUUGAAAAUAAUUAUUCAUCUAUUACUACUCCAUAACAAUCUUGUUCGUAAAUAAAGUUUCAAAUCAAAUCUCCUUAUGGAGAAAGCAUCACCUCAAUUAUGCUCUGAUUUCCUUCAAUUUUUAGUGUAAAUUGCACUAAUUUUUUUUUUUUUUUACAAAAUAUAUUGCACUAUUUUAUUUUACAAAGUAUAUUGCGCUAAUUUUGGAAUUUUAUUUCCAUGAGUCAAUGAUUUUUUUUAAUUUACAUUUAUUUUGUAUUUUUUAUUGCUUUUUCAGAAAUAGUACGAUACUCAUUAUAUUAGUGAGUGAAUCAAUACAAACACGGAUAGGGUGUUCGAUAAAAACACAAAUAGGUGUUUUUUACGUGGGUUCAAUAACGACAGAUGAUCUCUCUAGCAUUUUUUUAUUGGGAAAAUUUGAAUUAGGUCUAAUUUUAUAGGCUUAUUUUGAAAUAGGUUCAAUUUUUAGUUACUUUGGAUGUAUAUCAAAAGACCCAUUUUUAUUUAUAUCUCUAGCAUUAUUUGUUAUUAAUUUGAGUCUCGAUUUCUUUUUAAUACAUCAAUAUUUUUACACUAAGCGGAGAGGGAGUUCGGCUAAGUCACACAAUGGGCAACCUAAUUUGGUAUCGAAUUCGCAUCUACGAAAUUCAAACCUAAAACCUCUCACUUCCAAAUGAAGAGAAAUAUCAUUAGACCGUAGUACUGAGUGGUGAGUCUCGACUCUUAAACCUUAUUACUAGACAGUUAUUUGAUUAACUAUUAAAAAUGUAAUUAUUUUGAACCAAAAUAUUAGACCUAGUCCGAGUGCAACUUUGGGUUUGGCUCAAAAUGAAGACGGCCGGUACCCACAUCUAUUCUUAAAGUCCAGCUUAGGAACAAAUGGUCGAGUCCUAAUCAGUAUUUAAUUCGUUGGGGAUCAGGAUUGGAUCCGGUUGAGUCCGAAUGUGAGUGAGAUUGUUAAGGAUUAGAAUGAACAAUGAUAAGGUUCGUAAUAUCCGGCUAAUCAUUGUUCAUAGCUGAUCAAGAUCUAGAAUGAAUUAAACAUGAAAGAGGGCUAGGUUCAAAGUCCUAAGUCUAGUAGGAGUGGCCGAGCUUUACGCAGAGGUUAGGAUGGUUUGGUGUCGAGGAAGUACAACCCAUAUAGGAAGCUACUACGACAUGUUGUAUUAACAUGAAAAUCAUUCCUAUAAAUUGAAAAGGUUCUACAACAUUUGUUGGACAUUCAACAUAACACACAUAUUUGCCCUGCGCAAUUUAUUGAUUUAUGCGAAACCCUUUCAUCUUUGAGAUAACUCUGACAUUUCUAACUUAGUCAAGCAUAUCUUAUAGUUUGGAUAAACAACAUUGUGGUUCACAAAUGGCGACAUCCUACAGUUUGGAUAAAUAACACUGGAACUAUAUCGUCAAAUAACACUGGAACUAUAUCGUCAGGCGAUCGAUCAAUGCCUCACAAUUUGGAUUAACAGCAUUGCUCCAAGUUCGGUUGACUAUCUAUCCAAAUCUGUCAAUAAGGGAUCUCUUAGUCCUUGUUCAAAUGGGUCAUUUUAUUAGUCUCUCAGCAAGUGAGGUUUUACCAAGUUACAUUGUUCGGUACAUUAAAGUCGAACCCAUUUUAUGAUUGGAUAUUCACAAGUGCAUUUUAGAGUUCGACACUCCAACGACUGAACUACAUUUACGAUCAAGACACUUAACUCUUUUGAAUAUUUGUGUCCAUACAACAUGUUACUGAUUCAAUGCACUUAUAUUUUCACAAUUAUAAUUGGAGCAGUCGAGCCCCGUGCAGACGAUCCUUUAACUUCGCAGUAACUGACAACCUUGUCCUCAUGCUCUAGAACCUAAAGGCCAAGACAAGUUUCUUCCUUGGCCAUGAUCGCUCGGAUAAGGAGUCAGCAACGCGUUUAACACCACCACCACAGCCACAUUCAUUUACUCACCGACCAAGUUUAGUCUACCAAUUGGCACGUCACAUAUUCAAUCGAAAUACAUAGUUAGCUAAUUAGUUAUUCGAUAUGCGCACCACAUAGGCUUAGUUGUUUUUAAGCUUAACAGUAUUAUACUGCCACCGGCAUUGAUAUUAAACAAAUGUUGAAAAUUUCGGCAUACAUGUAAACUCUUGACUUUGGUCUUGAAGGCAGCUGCCCCAAUUACUGUUAUCAGUCCAAAUGUCACUCAAAACCUUUUACUUUAAUCAGAAAUGCUUUAUUGCAUGCCAGUCUUGACUUUCCAUAUACCAUUUUUUCAUUCAGUCAAUCUAACUUCUAUAAUUUAGACCCUCGUCAAUCAUUGACUUAUUAUUCAAAUUUAAAUUUUAAAUACAAAUUCUAACACGAUAAAUUAUACUGUUAAAUUGUUAAUCUUGUGUCGUCUAAAUUCAAUUUGAGUCACUAAUACUAGCAGUUUCAUUCCUAUUUAUUCUUAUGUUCUACAAUCUUUGAUGGAAAAUGUUUUUCAUUCUAAAUAAUCCAAAUUUUCUGUAUUUAUCGAGAAUUGAUCAAUGAUUAGAGUACCUAAUUAUCCACAAAAUAAAGAGUGAUGACUCAUGCACUCUAAUCUCAUCUAAAACCUUGAAUACCACUCAACUAAUUUGCUGGUUCCGACAAAGAUAAAAUCUUCAAAUAAAUUUGAAGCACACCUAAUACCAAACAGACACAGACUGAAAUGGAAUCGUGUGGGUUCUCUGAUGAGAUCACAAUACUAGCCAUGCUUUGACAGGAACGGUGACAAAACUAAAUGUCUCACAAGAAAGAUAUAGCUGCGAGCCUGUGGUGAAAAUCUUUAGACCUAAUAGUUUGAAGGCUUUCAAGUUACAUGCAUAUAUAUUACCAGUCGUCAAAGCACUCAAGCUUCCAUGGCCAACCACAUAUCCCUGUAUGCGUCCAUUAGCUCAGUUACCCUAAGGGACCAUCUUCAUUGUCAAUGCCAAUAAAAGAGCACUCACUUUCUAGGGUUUGAAGUUUUCUUCGUAGAAUUAAUGGCAAAAAACCAAACAUUAUUAGCAUGCAUGGACAAGUUGAUCUGGAAAUAUUUCAAAAGUCCCCGACGCCUUUAUUCCUAGACAGUGGGACAAAGAUUUGGCACACGUAAGUGGUGGAAAUUUUGGUAUACAAAGUGAGAAAAUUUUAGGGAACUUCACUAUUAUCCAACUUUUCAUUUCCCAUAAUUAUCUUGCAUGUUAUGAUGUUAAACUAGGAAACAGGACGGUUUAAUUUUUUACAUGAUAUUGAACGUAUAGCUACUGAAUAACAUGUAUCCGACAAAAAAUUAACUCUUUCCACAAAAAUUAAAUUUUCUUUUAUAUUAUGAGGAUACAAGCUUCUAGUAUCCAUUUUUCAAGAAAAAGAACGUCAAGUCUACAUAUGUGAAAAAUGCUUUUGAUUAAUUGUUCUAGUGGAUUUGAGGUCACUAAAGAUAUUAUCAAAAGAAAAAAUGAUAGUUUUGUGAUUGAAUAAUGAUGAUUAGCUUUAACAAGACCAGAGAGUUGGAGGAGACUGAAGUCAAUAUAAUAAACAAAUGAAUCGGGUGUGCUUUCUCAAUCAAUCUCACAAACUCAAGGGGCCGGAGAGGGAAGGUAAGUUGCAUGCAAAGUUUUCAUAUACGUACGUGACGUGAGUUGGAUUCUUUCACAGACUCUGUUGCAAUUUUCCAAGUGCAAACGCGGUUUGACAAUCGGCACCAACUUAUUUUGUUCUUUUUCCAAGUUUUGUUACUCAGCCUCAGCUGUAUGUUGUGUUAAGAGUAAAUCUUACCACAGAAAGUUAAAAAAAAUUGCAUGGGUUUACUUUGCAAUGUAAAUUUUAGGGUAAAAUCUCGAAUAUUUUUUUAUGAUUUAGAAUAGGUUGUCCAAGCUAAGUAUAACGUUAUCUCACUCAUACGUGAACGGACGUAUUAAAAGUGUGACUCCUACAUCGGGAUCUCUCUCAUUAUUUCCAAUUAAUUUUAAAUUUAAACUUCUACUAAAAAAGAUUUCUCGGAACAAGAUUAAAAAAAAAAAAAAAAGACAAACAAAUAGUGUUACAUUAAAUCGCAUCUUCAUGAAGUGUUGUGUUGCAUGGGAGAAAUAGUGUUACAUAAAUAAUGAAAGUGUAGAGCGUUUGCCCACUAUAUAUAUUUUUAUGGGGUCGUUGAAAUUAGGUUAAAAAUAUUUGGCCCAACUUAAAAUUAAUUAAAUACCCACAUCAACCUGCAUAUAGCCACGACUUUGACAAAGUAAUUAGCCGACCAUAUGGUGUCCACCGUCUUCAACCUACACCUUUUAGAUAUUGCAGUGUACCAUGUAUGUUUUAUUUAAUUUUUUCAAAAAAAGACUGGCUGGUGUCUUCGUUUUUUAGAAAUUUGAAAGAUUUGAAGAGGCAUUUUAGCUUCUUCAUAACCACUAUUGCAUGAUUUACUAGUAACAAAAAUUGAAUUCAAAAUAAAUUUGUAGAAUGAACAUUUUUGUUUCGUAUAGCAUGAAAAUGAGAUUCGAACUAUGUCUUUAAAUAUUGAGAAAAUACAUAAUAAAAUUUUUUAAAAAAUCGUUUAAUGGAUAAGGUGGAUUGAACUUUUUCGAGAAUAAUGCUUGAGAAAUAAAAUUUUGUAAAUCAAGUGAUAUGAAUGUUAAUUAUUAAAUGAUUAUUUAAGAGUGAUUAACAUGUUUAUUGUUAUAGCCGGGGUAUUGAGUGCACCAAUAAAUAUUAAAAAAAACUAAUGAAAAGAAUUUAAAAACUUUGAGUUUUAACGAUAAGGACAAAAUGAAGACUAAAUUGAAUAGUACAAUAUUGACUUUUUAGUGUAAAAAUGUGGUUUUUCGUUAAAGUGAACAGUACCAGGAACUUUUUGUUAAAGUUCUCAAAGAAAAAUUAAUGAAAAAUACUUGAAAACUUUGAGUUUUAACGAUAAGGACAAAAUAAAUAGUAAUUUGAAUAGUUGUAACAUGGAGCUCGAUGGGACAGACUCAAAACCGUGUCUUGACGUGUCCUAAUCAACCUUGCAUAAGAAGUUUUAACGAUAAGGACAAAAUAAAUAGUAAUUUGAAUAGUUGUAACAUGGAGUUCAAUGGGACAGACUCAAAACCGUGUCUUGACGUGUCCCAAUCAACCUUGCAUAAUAUUGGAAGGUCACAAAUCGAGAAAGGGUUGAGGGCGGAUGGGCUAACUGUCUUCUUUUGGGGUAUGAGAAAGGAUAAAGGUUAUGGGUCGACGUGGGGAAUACUCUUGGGCCAAUUUCUAUAGAAGUAAAAGAACAGAGAAGUGAAAGCAGAUAUUGGGAAAAAUUGAACCUCUUAGGCAUUCAUGUGCUGAAUAAAACAAAAAGUCCAACAUCGAUUAUCUUACAAAACAAAUUACAACUUAUAUAGUAUGGUUCUACUUUUAAUUGUAUUGAAGUCUUUUGCAUAAAAAACUCACACCUAUUGAUUGCAUAAGCAAUUAAGUGUGGACAAUAUCGAUACUAUUAGUGGUGGACUGCGGUUUGUCUCUCUGAAACUUUAACAUAGUAUUAGAGAGGGUUUUCAGAUCUUGCCCAAAUUAUUGGGUUCACUUCCAAACAUGACCGAUGUGGCUCCACGUUUGGCCAACUCCAAAGUGGUCUGACGUGUUGAAUAAAGCAAAGACUCCCAUGCCAUCUUACAUAACAAAUCACAACUUAUAUCAAAUGGUUCAACUUUUAAUUGCAUUGAGAUCUUUUGCAUAAAAACCUACACCUAUUGAUUGCACAUGUGAUUAAGGGGUGGUUUGGGAGUGAGGUGCUUAAAAAAAAAACACCCAUAAAAAAAAGCUGUGAGGAUUUUAGGUGUUUGGUAAACUAAAAAAAAAUGCUUAUUUUGGAAGUUGCUGUGAGAAUAAGCUGAAAUCAAAGGAAAAAGCUGAAGCUGCUAUUUGCAACUUUGGAAAACUGGUUUUUUUUCAAAGCACACAGAGCUACAGUGCUCCUUUAAUGAAAAGACCCACCAUCAGACUGCUUUUUUUUUCCAAAUGAACUUUUACAAAAAAGUUUACCAAACACUCUGCUGAUUUAUUUUACAACCGCUUAUUCUUACAUCAGUUUUUUUUCAAAGUACAGCAAUACCAAACCAGCCCUAAGUGGGGACAAUAACGAUGCUAUUAGGGUCACCAUGACUUGUCUCUCUAGAACUUUAAUAUUUUUUUAUAUAUUGAUAUUUUUACACUAAGGAGAAUGGGAGUUAGGUUAAGCUGCACAAUAGACAACCUAAUUUGGUAUCAAAUUCGUCAUCCACGAUAUUCGAAUUUAAGACGUAUUGUUUCCAAGUGAAAAUGAAUACCAUCAGUUGCAUGAAAGUUUUUAUGUAACACUAAUCUUUCAACUCCUGUCUACAAAAAAAAUAUAUCUGGUAAAAUUCAUGGACUCUCUAACUCAAAAUAUCUGAUUCUAAAAUGUUUUCUCGGCAUCUAAGCUUUCAUGUUGUGGGGUUCGUAUUUUGCGGGAAAGAAAGAACUGAAACAAAUCAAAUCUGAUGAGGAUCGAAUCAAAUCAAGUUCCAAAUCCCUCCAAGACAUUUACCGGUUUCGGUCGAGACACUGUUCACACCAAAAAGGUACACUACACCCGGCAUGUGCUAUGAUUUGCUUCUUCGCAACUCUAGACGACCAUUUUGUGUAUUGGUUUCGUAGUCAACUAUGCUAGCAAGGUACUUGUCUAAAUAGGGUUUGGCAACAUUCACAUACGAACACUGUCUGAACCGUUUAUUAAUCUAAUAAUUCAGAAGUGUUCGUAUGUCAUAUCCAUUCGGAUGCCGAAAUUUCCCAAAAAUGCAUGAAUCAAGAACUAGAAACUAGAGUAUAUUGCAGGAGAGAUUCUCUUUCAAUACCAAUGUAUAAUCUCAUUGGCAUCGUCACUCCGAUGAAUGUUACUGCAUGUUCAAAACUUACUUUAAUUAUUCAAUAAAUAUUUGUCAUAUGACGUCAUCGGUUACAUGAUACUGCAAUCAUUCAUGACAUGACUUGAAGUGAGUUUUCGCGAUUGAAGGAGAUAGAGAAAGGAGGAUGCGUCUGUCCGACAUUUCUCCAACCCAAAAGAGAGAGGGUACAGAAAAGGCUGUAUACCCAGCUCGCCUAAACAGUAGAAAGUGACUUUGUAUUUCUACCUUGGAUACUGAAAGCCUUGUCUUUUUUCCUCUGUCACCGUCCAUUUAGAAUUUAUUGGCAUCUGGCAAACGUAGCAUCAAUCUUUGCGACUCAUUUGGAACACACACGAAAUGGCAAAUACAAGAAGAAAAAACAACAGUUCCGAUGUGAACUCGGCAAAAGCAUUAUUUCGGAAUGAUUCGUUAUUGCGAUUCCAAGCAAUUACUUUCCUCUAAGCAAUGCAAGAACUAUAUUGUGACAUACAUUUAAGGGUACAAACUAAUUCCGAGUCCAAAUAAUUCUGAAAACAUUUCGUCCGAUUCGAAUCCAAAAUCGGUAAUUCUUAAAUUCAAAAAAAUGGGGAAACCAUAAAAACAAUUUGUAUAGGAAUUGAAAUACAUUUAGUAUUUUGAAUUCGAUCUGAAAUUUCAAGACUUGCAUAACUCUAGUACACACUUAAUUAUUUACUUAUUGACUUUGUACUUAAAUAAGUAACUAUCUUUUUCAAUUACAACUCCCUUGAAUAUAUUACUCCCACAAAAAAAUAGAGAACUAUAAAAUUUUAUGGUUGCAGAGAGAGCCAUGGGAUGAUAUAUUUUUUUCCUCUUGGUAAAACUCCCAUAAUUUUGAAGUGAAAUAAUCCAAUUUCAAAAAUACCAAAUUCGACACGAGUAUAUGGAAUUCAAAAUUUCGAUUCUGAAAUUGAAAUUGAUACGCGUUUACACAACUUUUUGAAUUAGAAAAGAGGUGAAUUAUUGAACCGACAAGUCAGUACAGUUAAAUGAUAUAUAUAUAUAUAUUUUUUUAACAAACGAUAUUAUACAGAUAGCUCCCGUGGUCCGGACUAAUGCCUCUAUUAGGCGAGGACAACCUACACUAAAGGGAAGGCGGGAGGUUUGACCUUACACUGCUAAUAAUAAUGAGGCUAACUUUAUCUCCGAGGAAUUGAACUUAAAACCUUUCAUUAAAACCUCUUAUUUACAUAUUAUCGUAUAAGCAUAAUUCCCCGGACAAAAAAAGCAUAUGGCCUACAUUUUCCACGUCACCAUCUUACAAUCCCGCUAUCCACCUCCAUAGACCAAGUCCUCCGCCCCCUCGGCGUCGAAGUCUCCGUCGGUUCCAAUUCCAUAAACCUCACUCUUCUACGACUCGUCGAUGGUGGCGGCAUCGGCGUCCCCACCCUCAUCUCCGAACCCGAACUCGAACUUGCCGACGACGACACACCCCCGCUGAAACAACCAAACAGAUUCAUGAAAAAUCUCCUCAACCCACCGCUCUGUCUCCGUCUUCCUCCAUUUCUUGACCACGAAAUCCUCCUCGCAGCUCCGCCGCCGCUAAACCCGCCGUCCAUCUCCGUAUACACUACCGGCAUCUCUCUCUCGGCGCCUCUUCUCCCCCCACUAAAUCUCCCCACCGCGAAUCCGCCGCCUGGCAGCCUCCAGAUCGUCAGACCAGCGUUUUCGUCCUCUUCCUGACCUCGACCCUGACCCGUAUCGGGCGUCGAAUCGGCCGGUAGCUCGUGCCUGCAUACCGGACAUGAAUUCCGGAGCGUAAGCCACGGCAGUAUACAAUCGGAGUGGUAUAUAUGCUUGCAGGGCAUUUCCUGAGCUUCGGUGUUAACUUCGAACGGUUCUUUACAAACGGCGCAGUGAUGCCCCGCCGUUAUGUGAGCCUCAUCGAGCUUGAUCGUCGGCAUCGACUCAAUCGCCGACUUCGACGCCGGUCUCUGCUCGCAUCGCCCGAUUCCAUUGAUUUCGAACUGCGAUAGCUGUUCAAGUAGGCGGUCGAACCUAGACCCGAGAAGAAACUCGGACAUGCUUGUAGGCAAGGGUCGGAGCCCCGAGCCGCUACCGUCGUCGUAAAAGAGCUCAUAUCCGCGGCCUUCCUCGGUGGUGGCGGCGCCUUCGGCCGUUGUUCCGCGGAGGACGAUUACCGGAUUGAACGGCGAGCGGUCGCCGUUGUUUCGUCUAACUCUUCGGGGGGCGGACGGAACCGAAGCGGUAUGAUCCGGACUGGAAACCGAGCGGUUGUUGGCUCCAAUCAUGUACAUCGAGGCAGCUGAAAACCUCCUGCUGCGGCGCGAGUCCACGUUUCCGGAGGAGGUCGGGUUGUCGAUCGCCUCUACGAAGCCACUCUCGCAGUCCGAGCACACCACUGAGGAGGAUAGGGCGGAGGCGGUGGAGACGUCGGCGUCGUUGAAAACCCUAACGAAACGCCUACAACUGUAGCACCAGUAAGACGGCGUCGCCGCGGACAUGCAGAAGAUCAAUCAACCCUCCCUCAAUCGGAAAACAAAACUCCGCCGUUGAAAGUCCGAAUCGGAACGAAAUUCGAUCCGAGAAAAUGCGAAUCUUCCCAAUCGUAAAUUAUUGUUUGGGAGACGGGAAAAUGGACAAUAACCCCGAGAGAAAAUUUUGUAAAGGUUUUUUUUGGGGAAGGCCAAAUUUGAUAUUUUGCGUGUUGAAAAUACGAAGGCAGAAAGAUUUAUGGACGUAUUAACGGCAAAACCGCGUGGUGAGAACUCUCGCAAGUUUCUGACACGUAACGACGUUUAGUCAGCGUUAGAUAUCAGUCGGUCGAGUUUUGGAGGAGACGGCGCGUUUCGAGGAUGAAACGGAACGGAGUUUCAGAAGCCGCGGGAAUAGAGGCCUGCGCCGAGCCGGCACGAAAUCUAUAGGCUUGAAGGUUUCACAUUGUUCUAAACAGUAAACUGGUUGACGUGGCGAGACAUUUCUUAACUGGGAUUUUUUUUUCUUUUGUUAUUCUAUUUAUGGGGAAAAGGAGUUAUUUCUGGUUUUUUUUUUUGGUGGAAAAGUGUAAUUUCAGUUGGAGUACACAGAAUAUAGUUAGGUAAAUUGAAACGUAUUAAAUUUCUCUUGUAAGAUCCAUUCAUUAUUCAUUUUGUAAUUUCUCUCAUAAGAUCAUUUACACGCAUUUGAAUUUGGGUUUAAGAGUGUACUUGUGGCUGAUACUGUCCAUUUAAAUAGUAAAUUGUGAACAGUUACUGUCGUAGCUGUUUUUUUUUUUUUUAUCAUACUUAGGGCCUUCAUAUUUAGAUCUCGUAUAAAUACUCGAAAAACUCAAAUGUAAUUAUGUAAUAAAUGAAGAGGCAAAUAUAUAAUAAGUGAGAAACUCUUAUUCUAUAAAAAGACCCCUCACUCUCCUCAUUAGUGGAGGCCAAGAUUGAAGCCAUGGGAAGAGAGCACACAGAAAAUAGGCUAGAGAGCACACUGCCUCUAGCCUUCUUGUAUAUUCACCAUUCAGAGUGAAACAAUAUCAACAUCAGUGUUGACGUAGCCCAAACAUUAGGGUGAACCACGAUACAUCUUGUGUUCUUUAUUUUCUUACAAAUUCACGGUCGGAUUUACGUUGCUCCAAGACCCUUCCAGUUUUGUGCAUCAACAUUUGGCACCGUAUGUGGGAAUCGACACGAAAAUUUAUGUCGGUUCUCUCUCAAUUUUUCACCUCCGUCAUGAAUCUGCAAAAACAAUUAAAAACCCCAAAGCUGAAAUCUCCGCCACAUUGAGUAGGGAAGGCUGUGAAGGCAAAAGUCCAUCUCUGUCUCUCUGUUUCUUCCUUCAUUCCAAUGGUUGCAGUCGCUCUCAGGAACCUUGGGUCCAGGCGCAUCCUCCCAUACUCCUCGCAUAUCUACUUGUGCGGUCGAUGAUCGAUCGUCGCUGCCGGUUCUUCGCAGCUACCCCUGCAAGUCGAUCCUGAAAUGCAAACUUGUGAGCAAAAACGACAAGGACGACAUCAAAAACAACUCGGCCUCCUCCUCCGCCGUCAUGUGGGGCAUUCCCCUUCUGGGAAACGACGAAAAGGCCGACGUCGUCCUCUUUAAGUUCCUCCGCGCCAUGGGUUCCUGCUGCGGUUCCAGAUCCAGGCCACCUCACCGUCAAAUUCCAAGAUUCAAGCCUUCAGACAUUUCCUCCAUCUGGGACACAAGGGAAGAUCUCUGGUGGUGCCCUCCCUCCUCGUGAUGCCGAUGACACAUUUUCUAAACCUGUAUCUGGUUCUGAUGAACCCCAGCAAGGUGGUUGGUUACGGGUAUUCUCUGGAGCUUUUCUCACUCCAACGACUCUAAAACUGGUCUGCACAAAUGGGCCCUCCUCUAAAAGCCAAAAUUCAAGCUUUCAAUUCUCAAAUGGGUUCUUUUCAUUUUCUUCUCAUUGGCCAUUUCUAGCUCAAAAGCUCCCAGUCAGAAUCGGAAGGUCGGUGAUUGUUUUUGCAAAGAAGAACAUCAAUAAGGAGAAGAAGAAAGAAGACAACCACAACUUUGCAUCGAAACCGGAUGAGGCCACUGGGCCUUUCCCUGAAUCUAUGCUGCUUAAACAAAAGAAAGUUCAGGAAGAUGGUAACCUUCUCCCUAAGUUUGCAGAUGCCGAAGAAGAUAAGGUGUAUGAAUUUUUUAAGCUUCAGCUGCAAAAGCGAUUUGAAUGAGGAAUGAAUGCGCACUAUGAGCUGGUUUAUCUGAUUCAUGAGAAACAUGCCGAAGAGGUUGGGAGUGUCAAGCAAGAAAAUCACGUGAGGCAGGAAAAGCAAGAAAAUCAUCAACCAUCUUAGCUCUACCCCCAGCACAAUUGUGAAGAAAUCCAUUUUUUUUAGAAAGCAAAAGUGGAAUAAAGGAAAAAGGGAAGAAAAGGAAUACAGAAAGGAAACAGCCAGGAUUAUACUCUUGCUUUUGUCGACCACCAAAGAAGACGCCCACACUUUCAUCAUGCAUGUUCCCAUUUUGAAAAACCCACCCGGGGAACAUGCAAAAGUAUCAAAGUAUGAGAGACCAUGCUUGCUGACCAAACCUGCCUUCACGUGAAGGUUUCUUCCAAUAGUUGGACUGCUGAGGUUGAUGUGAAGGGAGAAAUCUUUAUGUUGCCAAGUCCCAUCAAUUUUUCUUUGAAUGAUGUGAUUUACUUUUCUUAUCUUUUGGAGACAUUUGUAUAAACCCACCAGAGGGUAAUAAAAAAAAACAGCAAGCCCAAAAUAAUAGGCUGGAAUGUUAUGUGGAGGGCAAAUACCCAUAUGCCAAAAAGAGCCAGGCCCUCUAUUAUCACCAACCAAGUGAUCAAAAGUACGUCCAGUACUCCAAAAUUAUUCAGCAACCUGCCGCUAUUAUCACCAACCAGGUGAUCAAAAGUACACACAGUACUCCAAAAUUAUUCGGCAGCCUGCCACUUUUAUCACCAACCAGGUGAUCAGAAGUACGCCCAAUACUCCAAAAUUAUUCGGCAGUCUGCCACUAUUAUCACCAACCUUUGGUAGCCUGCCGCUAUUAUCACCAACUAGGUGAUCAAAAGUACGUCAAGUACUCCAAAAUUAUUCGGCAGCCUUCCGCUAUUAUCACCAACUAGGUGAUCAAAAGUACGUUCAGUACUCAAAAAUUAUACAUGAGCAUCACUUAUGUCAAAUCAUACAUAAACAUUCAUGAGCAUCACUCAUGUCAACAUUUAUGAGCAUCACUCAUGUCAACAUUCAUGAGCAUAACUCAUAUAAACAUUCAUAAGCAUCACUCAUGUUAAUCAGCUUCGAAAGCUUCAUUUACGAAGCUCCGACUUCAAAGCUUCGUUUACAAAAGUUCCAGCUUCAAAGCUUCACUUUCAAAGCUUCACCUACAAAGCUUCAGUGCAUGGUAUACAAAGACCGCAUCCGAACAACCGCUACUUUGGCCCAUACAUGGAUUAAAUUUGAAGUCUCCAACCAACAUACUCUAUUGACUGAAGACUUGGGGGACUACACUAUGUACUAUAUAUUGGGCUUCCGUAAUUGGGUCUCAUGAAAAAUACUUAGGGGAUUUAGCCCAUUAUUUAUGUACUGAGGAGCGAACCCUUAUUCUAUAAAAGGGAUUCCCUCACUUUCAUUAGAGAGCACCCAUUAUUCACGUAUUGAGGAGCGAACCCUUAUUUUAUAAAAGGGACUCCCUCACCUUGAUUAGAGAGAGACUCUUAGCCCAUCACUUAUGUAUUGAAGAGCGAACCCUUAUUCUAUAAAAGGGACUCCCUCACCUUCAUUAGAGAGUAUCGCCUCUUACUGAGCAACCGCAUUGCCACAAACAUCACUCAUAACCCAUCACUUAUGUAUCGAUGAGCGAUGCCUUAUUCUAUAAAAGGGACUCUUUUACCAUCAUUAAAGAGUAUCGCCGCCUGUUGAGCAACCGCCUCGCCGCGAGCAUCAACUCUAGCCCAUCAUUUAUGUAUCGAGGAGCGAGCCCUUAUUCUAUAAAAAAGACUCAUUCACCUUCAAUGCCACAAGCCGAGCCAACCAAGGCAACAUAAGCCACAAGCCGAGCAGUCUCACAACAUGUGCUACUUCUAGUUGAGCAUCAUUUCACAUUGAGCACCGCCUUAUAUCGAGUAUUCAGUUCUAGACAACAUCUAGUUACUUCGGUCCACACAUGGACUGAAUUUCAAGUCUCCAACCAAAAGACUCUCUUGACUAAAGACUUAGGGGAUUACUGUUUGUACCAUACUUAGGGCAUCCGUAUUUAGAUCUCGUAUAAAUACUCGGGAGACUCAAAUGUAAUUAUGUAAUAAAUGAAGGGGCAAAUAUGUAAUAAGUGAGGAGCCCUUAUUCUAUAAAGGACUACUCACUCCUCAUUAGAGAGGCCAAGAUUGAGGCCAUGGGAAUAGAGCACACAAAAAAUAGGCUAGAGAGCAUAUUGCCUCUAACCUUCUUGUAUAUUCACCAUUCAGAGUAAAACAAUAUCAACAUCAGUGUGGAUGUAGCCCAAACAUUGGGGUGAACCACGAUACAUCUUGUGUUCUUUACUUUCUUGCAGAUUCACGGUCAGAUUUACGUUGUUCCAAGACCUUUUCGGUUUUGUGCAUCAACAUUUUUUAAAUUAAUUUAACGGUUGAGGUUAAUUUAGAAUAUGUUGAUAUGAUUAUGCUACCAUGCAUCCAUUGUUAAUAGUAUUUACCAUGGAUCUGGACUUGGGGCUAAAAUCAAUGUGUCUGAUGGCAAGUAGGGAUGGGCAAAAUACCCGCAGUUAUGGGUAACUGAGGUUACCUGUCCAUUUAAACUUCAUGGUUACCGUUAUGGAUAACUGUUUAGAUAAAUAAACGGUUAUGGGUAUAACCGUUUACCCGUGAAAUUUAAAUUGAUGGUUAUGGGUAUUAACUGCAGUUAUAAACGGGCAACUGUUUACCUAUUUAUUUUAUAUAUGUAAUGUUGAAAAAAUAAAAUUAUAUAUAUAUAUAUGUAUGUAUGUGUGUGUGUGUGUAUAUAUAUAUAUAUGCGGUUAUUUGACAUGGGAUGGGAAGUUGUGUUAUUAACCCAACAAUCACAUCUCUUCAAUUUGAAUGUUGCAUCUUUUGAUUGUUGCCGAAAAGACAUGAUUCUUGGUCAACAAGUGUAAUCCUUCUCUUAACUAUGUUCUCUAUCGGACAAAACUUAAAUCAAUCCUAUUGACUAUAGUGCAUGGUUUAUAUAGCUAAUUAUAAUAUAAUGUAGCUCGUUAAUACUUUACAUUAUGGGUUAAAUAACCAAAGAAUACUAUCUUCUAAACAAUUUUUGUAACCCAAUAAUACUUAGCAAAUAUUAUAGGGUAAAUUACAUAGUAGCCCCUCAGGUUUGAGGUCUAUUGCAAUCUUAUACAACAUCUUUAAAACAUUUCACUUUCAUACCUCAAGUACUAUUUUAUUUCAAUUUCAUACAACCGUUACAUUUUUCAUCCAUGAAUAUGUUAAAUGCUGACGUGGCUGCCACAUAUAUGCCACGUGGCUGCCAAAUGUCUGCCACGUGGUAAAUAAAAUAAUUUUUUAAUUUCGUAAUAGUUAAAAAUAUUCCGUAAACUAUUAUUUCAAUUAUUAGAAUGAUAUAAGGACUUAAAAAAUUACAAUACAUAAAUGUAUGUUGAAUGUACUUAUAACGGUGUUUAAUUGUUAAAAAAAAAGAAAAUCAUGACAAUUUUUUUUUAUUUUCAAGUUGUUAAAAAACAUGUAGACGGUGAAAAAGAGGAAAUGGUAAAAAAAAAAAAGAUAAACGGGGUUAAAAAGGUUAAAUGGGUAAACUGGUAUUAAACAGUUACGGUUAAAUGGGUAUGCGGUUAUGGGUAUGGUUAACCGUUUAUAAACGGUUAUGGGUAUGGGUAUAAUCGUUUAGAUAAUUACUUAACGGAUAAAUGGUUAUGCGAGUAUGAGUAUAAACGGUUGGGUAAAUAACCACGAUUACCCGUCCGUCAUAACCGUUGCUCAUCCCUAAUGGCAAUGCUCCAUUAACUACGGUGUGUGUGAAAUGUGAUAUUUAUUUAUUUAUUAUUUUUUUUAGAAUAGCACAAUGUUUUGGUAGUGUAUGUUGCUGACUUUUAUUUUAUUUUGCGGAGAAAAAAACAAAAUAAAACAUAUAAUAAAACACUUAUAAAGAAUAGAAACAUAUAUUUCAGUUCAAACAUAAAAACGUAUACAAAAAUUAUUCCGUAUUUUUCACUUAAUGCUACGAUUUAAUGAUAUUUCUCUAAAUUUGUAAGUGAAAUAUCUUAAGGUUCGAUUUUUGUCAGAUACAAAUUUGAAUCAUAUUAUUGUUAGGCCAAUAUGAGGCUAAGCCCAUUAUGUUGGAGAUAAUAAAAUCAUAUUAUUGUUAACUCAUUACAAAACUAAGCCCACACCUCUUCUUUUAAUAUAGAUAAUAUUGUUUGUAUUAAAAAUUCGUCCACAUUUUUGUACUUUCUGAUCUAUUGCUAAUUUGCAAUCCAACCGGAGCGAGCUACGAGUGAGUGGCGGCUCGGCCGAAGAUGCAACGUGGUUACGGCUAAGGAGCUGCGUCAUCAUUUGAACCGGUUUGUUGUCCAACACGUCAUCAUCAUUUUGUCACAUCGCACGCCUCUUUGUCUUCUUUGCAUUAAACGCUUCGUUUGCUACCAUUCAUUAUUCAUUUUGUAUUCUUUGUCACAGAAAACAAAUAUUUCAGCAAGAAAAUCACUUUAAUUUUUUACGAUAAAUAAAUAAAUAUAUAAAAUAUCGUCUUGUAUGUUGGUCAAUAAUAUAUGUUUUGAAAAUGUCAAUUUUGAUAGGGUCAGAUGCUCUCCUUUUUGUUUGUUCAAAUUUUUAAUAUUUUCAAUUAAAAAAGAUAAAUUAUUUUAGGUGCGGACUAGGCCCAAAAAAUCAAAUACCAGUUAGCAAUAUAACAGCCCAAGGUCUAGCCCACUAUAAAUCCUUCAAAAUAAGUCAAGAUCAUUUGAUCAUCAAUCACAAAACAAAACAAUAGUACAACAAACAAACCCAAAUUAAGAAUAUAGUUAAUUUAACCCUAGAGACCAUCUUUUUAGAUCAUAUUUACAGACUAUGUGGUGGUGUUACGGUUAAUGGUUAGAUUAUUACUUAAAAUUGUUAAAAAUGAAAUCCAACCAUCAACAACUGCAUCGUUUAGUUUACAAAAUAUAAUAUAAAAAAUGAUCUCCCUAGCAUUUUCCUUUUGAUUAAUUAGCAAUUCAAAGUCCCAAAAUCAGUUGCAAACAAAAUCAUCGGCAUUUACAAUCAUAUACUUUAUUCAACAAUUCAAGAAAUAAUAAUUAAUUAACCAAAUACAAAUUAAUUUACCCCAACUAAACUAAUAUUCAUACGUCCACACACGGCAGUCCACAAAACAAAGAAGUGCAUCUUAUUCUUUCAUCGUCUUAGGGUUAAAGAUCUCACCAUCUUCCUAAACUGAUCGCCAAACGAAGUAUACGAAACGGUCCCAUCGUUCCCAGCAAGCACUUUGUACUUGUCCUUCCUUGUGAAGUUGGUGCACUCAAACCCUAACGUGGAGGCCAAGAUCCUCUGCACGUAAUUCGCAACAUCAUGAGGGCUUUUCCCAGAUGAACACGUGGCUUCCACAGGCAACUGGUUCAAGAACGUAACUUCGUAAACUGGCCUAGGGUUCAUGAAGAAGAAUAUGGGGUCCAAAGCUUUCCAGCCCCUUGCUGUCGUUGCAUGGAAAAACCCUACCCUGUAGUUCAUGGCCACCGGGACGAUUCGGUUUGUAAGCUCAGCAAAGAGUGCACUAAACCUCAAAAGAAAAGGUUCACGGCACGUCGUUCCUUCGGGGCAAACAACCAAGUCCCCUUUGGUUAGUUCAAGCUUGAUUCUCUCAGCAUCGACGUGCCGAACACGAGUUAAUCGAACGGUGGGGAUUGGGGAUAGGAGCUCUGAUAGUCGAGAUAGAGUAUGUGACUGCUGGAAUCCUACGUUUGAGUACGGUGGAGAGUAUAACGGGGUCCAUUAGGGUUCGGUGAGUGCAGACGAAUAGCACGCCUGAGUUUCCACCGGAGAAGGGCGGUGGUGGUUUGCCUUUCACAAUGACUUUACCACCAAAUAGUUGAGACAUGUAGGGUAUAGCCCUCAUUGGCAAUAUCAAUCCCAUGAAUAGGCGAAUGAAGGCAAGUGAGAUGCCUAGGGGCAUCCAUAGGAGGAUUAAGAGGGCGGUUGAAGGUGUAGGGCGCUUGACUAGUCGGCCGUCGUGGAAGAUCACCGGGAGUGGUCGGAGGACUUGCUGUUCAUCAUGCUUUUUGUUGGCGAUCAUAAGUGGUGGGUGGAUUUGUUCCUGUAGUGACAAGCCAUGCAUGCAUAAUUUACUUCAUUAGUACCACACCAAGAUAAUUUACUUAAUUAGUAAGUAUGCAUCGUUAUGUUAUGUGUUGAUAAUGAAUAGAACAAAUGGUUCAGAUCCAAUAUGUAUAUAUUAUGUAUCACGUCAGUUGUUAAUAAUACUAUUCAUUUCAAAUAUGUACGCACCUUGCAUAGGGAUAAAAAUGAAGAACCAGAUGAUGAAGGCCUUCCCAACCCUAAUGUCGGUUGUUCCUCAUCCACAAACAGCUUGGCCACUCGACUGUAUAUGUUAACUUCACCUUUAACAAAGCCGGUAGCAAACCCAAAUCGGUUUACAAGAAGCUCACUGCCAAUAACUUCAUCAGCUCUCAAAUGCUCCUUCACAAACCUCUCCACCAUAAUCCUUGGCAUCUUAGUCACCACAACCCUCUUAUCAUAUGAGCUAAACACUUUCCAAGCCUCCGUAUCCAAAUCAUCCAUGUAAAACUUUGGCAACACUGCACGAGACACGGACUCAAUCUCUGAUUUCGGAACACCAAAAACAGCAACAAAAGUCAUCAGUUUAAGCCCGGCUUCCUCCAUACCUAUCAUCUCCAGAAACCGGAUCACCGGCCACAUCAUUAACAACACGGCAAACCGUAUCAAACCUGACGCCUCAAAUGCUACCAACAUGAAGUAAGAGAAGGGGUCAGGAUCCCUUAGAAGUGUUCCUUCGAGCUCCGAAACAAUAGACUCCAUUGAGCCAGUAUGGGUUUGCAUUUGUUUUCUACGGAUUCUUGUUUUUCUCGGUUUGGGAUUAAUUAAGACCAGGAUUAUGUGGUUAUAAGUACUAUAUUUGGCUUAGGAUUAUGAUUAUUUGACGACUGGUUAGAAGAAUGUAGGAAUGGAUCGGUUUAUCAGUUUACAACAACCCUAAUUACUUUAUAACAUUUUCUAAGAUCAAUCUUUCUCUCUCUAAUUUGACCAUCUGGAGAGAUUUUUCAGUAUGACCGUCACACGAGACGGUACACCACGUGUCCUUAUAUAAAUAAUGGGAUAUAUGUGUUAAAAGAUUAAUAACUUAAAAAUUAAAAAUUUUCACCUCUUACAUAAAAACACGUGGUAUACCAUCCGUAUUCCCAUCACAACUAAAAAAUUUCUCCAGCUUUUAGGUUUUUGAGGUGGAUGUAACAGCAAAGGAAAAAGUAUCAUACGCCACGUAAAUCCACUGAAAAUUUGGAUUACUUAACCCCAACAACUUUGGUGACGUGGACGUUUAAUUUGCGAUACAAAAGUCCAUCUGUACACACCUAAUAGCAGGUCUGACUUGGUGCCUUUAGGUCACUGACUUCAACAUUUUACAACGUUAUUAGUGAACAUGUUAUUCAAUCAAUCUUCGUAUAUAAGUCUUGCAGAAAGUUUAUGUAACAGUGGCCACCCCACGUUCAUGUUGCACGGGGGCAUACGAGUCCAUGCCAAUAGCUGGCUGAUGAGGAAAUUUUUGGCAGAUAUCGGUUUCGAUUAUUUUGAUCUUUUGGUUUUUCCACGUUUUAGAUUUUGAUGUAUAUAGUUUUAUAUGGCUUUUCCUUGUUCUUAACAGAUUUUUCCCAUUAAGAAUAUUGUCGCAUUGUACUAAUUUCCUUUUUGCAUUCUCUUAUUUACAAACUUGCACUCGUGAUUGAUGUGUUUUCUUUGCUGUCAAAAUUGGAGAUUUCGUAAUACAGUUUACAUGGACAUACUACAAAGAUCUCCCAGCUGUAGGUUUAUAAUAUAUAAUCAUCUUUUAGAACGUAGGAGGAUACUAACAAAAUGCCACAUGUACAUACUUCACAAAAGUAAAGAUUCUCGUUCGUACCCAAUAAAAAAUUACAAAAAAACCAACAAAUUAAUUGAAUAUCUCAUGUACUUUUGUUUUGACAAUAUUUGACUUUCAUGGCCUGCUAGUUUAAACAGGUUUAUGAAUGAACAUGUUAAGGAAAGAUAACUUAGGUUAAAAGUCAAGUAAAAACAAGAGGAUUCAUAUCCUUGGAAAUUGUUUUGCAACGGUAACAAAUCUUCAAUAUAUCUUCAAUAUCAAGUUUUUGUGUUGAUUAAUAUGUCAAUAACUCAAAUAGGAUAGUAAUAAAUCAGGAAAAUAUAUCAAAUUCGCGUAGGUCAUACCUAACAAAUGUCCUGUAGAAUUCAAAGGAGGAGGAUAUACAGAACUCAAAUCACUAGUUAUAUUGAUCCUCAAAUCAAGCUAGCCACUUGCCGUCUCCGGCUUUCGUGCGAUCUCCGGCUUUCAAAGUAGGUUAGAAAUUAGCAAAGCUUGCAAGAAGAAUCAAUUCAAAGUAGGUUAAAAAUUAACCAAAAGCUAGCCAUUUGCCGUCUCCGGCUUUCGUGCGAUCAAGUAUGCUGUUAAUUUGCUUUAUCAGAUUGACACGGAAAAUUUCUGCUCCAAGUUAGGUAAUGUUGGUUUGAAUAGAUGAUGAAAACCAACAUUUCAGUUUCAGCAUUAUAUAUAUAAAUAUACAUACGCACACAUACACUGAGUCUUUAACCGAAGGGAUCUCCAUAUUUUUUAGAAAAUAAUGAUUAGUUGUGGGCCCAAACGACAUAGAACUUCAACAAUCUAAAUCGUUUAGUUUUCAAGUUAGCACCUCAUAAAUUAUCCUUGCAAAAUAUUAGCCAAAUCGUAAAUAUUGAGGCAUUUAAUUGAGCUCAAUGAAAUUGAUGAAUGCUAUGGUCUAAGAAACAUUGAAACUUCAUUGUGACUAUUGAAUAGUCAAAUGGUUUCAGAUUGAAAAUUUCAUUGUGACAAUUGAAUGGGCAAAUGAGUUUGAAUUGAAUUAAAUUUUUGCAAGGAUGACCUAUGAAUCGAAAUUUAUAACAUAUACGGUUCGAAUCAUUGAAGUUUGAUGUGAAGCGAGUUCCAUAUUAAUCUCCUUUUUUAUUUAUUUAUUAAAUUGUAGCAAUGGUCUCUCAACUUUAAUCAAAUUGGAGCAAUGAUUCUUCAAUUAAAGGUCUAUUACUAUUGGUCUAUCAACUCAUUAAAAUGUGGAGCUAUGGUCAUUUUCGUCAACUUCGUCAAAAUUUUGUCAAAAUAAGUUAUGUUAGAAGGACCAUUACUACAAUUGGGACCCCUUAACUCAUCAAAACAUGUAGCUAUGAUUAUUUUCGUCAACUUUGUUAGAAUUUUGUUAAAAUGAGUUAUUUUGGAAGGACCAUUGCUAAAAUUGGGUUAAAUUUGAGGGACAAUUUCUCUAGUUGGAUUAAAGUUGAGGGACCAAUGGUAAUGAAUUUUUAGUUGAGGGACCAUAGUUGCACGUUUUGAUGAGUUGAGAGACCAAUGAUAAUGAAUUUUUAGUUGAGAGACCAUUGCUCCAAUUGAGUUAAAAUUAAAGGACUAUUUCUACAAUUUACUUUUUUUUUUCUUCCAAAAUGGGAUCCCUCUCCAUAAAGGUUCUGUACAUAUAUAUAGACGGAGCAUACUACAAAAUCACUAAUCUCGAACCCAAUUUCAAUUUGUGUUUCAUACUUUUGAGUUCUCACCAGCUACAGUCACAUCCGCCAGCUUACUCCGAUACACGUGCCGACGUACGUUUUCCGGCCUGUAGGUGCGUUUCGAUUAGCGUGAAGAAGUGGUAGAAUAUGAUUAAGUUCAAUUUCCCACCCAAAAUAGGCCCAACAUUGAUAGAUCAGGCCCUCAAGAGGAAAACCUUCAUCCCAACCCACCAAAAUGUUGAAUGGGCUUAGAUUUUUGGGGUUGUGCAGGAGCAUCCAAGUUGAUAUGAUGACCUAAACGAAACUGACGUACAAUAUAACGGAUUUGGAUCCCAUCCGAAUUGAAAUGGUGAGGAUGGUAGGAAUUUUUACAUUUUUAUCAUUCAACGUGUAUCGUGCGAUCAAUUUUUUUUAUAAAUUAAACACAAAUAGUGCCUGACGAAAAUUGGGCGAACGAUGUACAAUGAACGACUAAGGAUCCUCACAAAAUGAAUCUGGAGAUGAUCCUCUUCAACAAGAAUCACUAUUCACAAAGUUUUAAAUAUGGUUACGGUGGUGGACAAACUUCUCCAUGAAACAACGUCAUUGGUAGCAUGUAUAGUUUCGGUUACAUUGAAGGGCCUACUUGAUCUAAUCCUUAAUUCUUUUUGUUAGUAGCAUGGCCAACAGGAUUCUCUUCGGAUUCUUAUGAUGAGGAUCCUGAAAAUCCGUAAAUCGUAUCUACAAAUAAAUGGAUAUUUUUGUUUUUCUAAAAAAGAUCAAAAAUAAAAAGUCUUUGGUAUUAGUUCACUGCCGACUGCGAACUAACUACGUCAUUACUUUUACCUUCAAUAUUUCACCGACCUUUCAAAUCAACAAAGGUCACAUUCACAUCAACAUAUCUGCUGCUACCUUGGUUGAAAUCUUGCUUGAGUCCUGUGCGCAAUGUUGAAAAUCUAGCUAAAUGAUUAACGACACCAGUUUAAACCAUGAGGGUUAUUACUGGUUUGGUAUUGAUAUGAUUUUAUAAAAAAUAAGUAUAAAAUAAAGUUGAGUUUAAAAAGGUGUUUGGUAAACACCUAAAAAAAAACUUAUUUUCAUAGUUUUGGAUGAAAAAAAGCUGAAAACAUGAAGCAGCAAAAACGAGUUUAUUCUCACAGCACAGCAAAAACAGUUUUUUUUUCAAAACACAGCAAUGCCAAACCAAUACUUGGACGAGGAAUGAGAUGCGGUAGAAUGAAGAGUAUUAAGUAGUUUAGAGAUAUACUCAUAGUUCGAAGCUCUCAUUUAUAAUUAAAAGUAUUUACUGGAGACAAGAUCAGAGAUGCAAGAGCAUAUAAUAUAAACUAUAUACUAUAUAUAUACAUUGACUGUAAGGUAAGCAAUGAAAAAAUCAUUACCGUAUGCAGUUGCCCUAAUAAGGAUAAGCAUCACAAGAUCGUUAUGGCGGACAUAUGGCUAGCCAUGAAUUCCGCUUUGCCAAAUUUCGAGGUUAUGCCUCACCCUUUCAUGUAUACAUAUAUAAAUCUUUUCCUUUGAUUUCUUUAUUAAAAUUAUCCGCAUAUGAGUUUGGAAUAUAAAAGAUAAGAUAGAUAAUUAAACUGUUUUUCUCUUUUUCUUUUUGCUUAACAGAUAAGGGAAAUAUGCUGCACAAUAUUUAUUUUUUAUUUUUUAUUUAAACACCUACUUUAAUUUUCUUCUCUUAUAUAUAUAUACUAGCAGAGAACAUACAUUUUGUGUGUGUGAACAAUUUCUCUUAAUAAGUGCAUAUUUUUUUUAAUAUUACAUAAUUACUGUUUUGUUCUCCUUGUGUAAAUAUUAUGUAUAAAAAAUGAGGGUAAAAUUGGAACAAUAAAUAUAUGAUUGUCAUUUUCUUAAAAAAAAAAAGGUAAAAUAACGAUAUGAUUGUUAUUUUGUCAAAAGGUACAAAAUUACUAUUUUGCCAUCCUUUUGUCAAUAGUGUGUAUCAAAAGUGAGGACAAACUGAGAAAAAAAAAAGAGAAAAAAGUUGACAAGCGGGAUUCUCUUAAUAGUAUACUUAAUUGAAUAGUUAUACACACUCAUACAUACAUACAUAUAUAUAUAUAUACCUUUUUUUUCUUCUAAGUAGUUGUCGUGUUUAAGCGUAAUUAGGGUUUUAACCCAUGAACUGCAGACAGAAUAAUAGUUUAUUUGAUCUUUUCAAAAAAAAAAAAAGUUUAUUUGAUAAGAAGGAAUGUGGAGCAGGGGAGGUGGAGCAGCACAUAUUAAUGAAUCAUGUGGAAGGAAGCACAGACAAGUCACGUGACCCUCCUCAACACAGAGAAUAUCAUAAUCAUAUGAUACGAUGAAUGAAGCCAAGUGACUCACAUAUCUGCAAAAUCAUCGUCGUCCACUGCUAUUUGCAUAAAUAUUAAUAUUGUAAAUGUAAACAAACUCUUGGCUGACUUGACCACUUAACUAACAUUAUCACCUUCUGUAUUUUUUCUUCUUCUUUUUGAUCGGUGCUUUUUCUGUAUUUUAAAAGAAAAGAAAAUAAAAAGGCAUCUUUGGUUGCCCAUAUGGUUUGGGUUUUUGGGGUCUUGGUGGUACUGGUAAGUGGUUGCUAGGGUUUUUAGCCGCAUUCAGAGCAUAAAUUUAUAUUCUCUGGGUUUUAGUGGGUCGCAGUAUUAGUGAAAGUUUAAAAUAAGAUCAUUCCAUUUUAUAUUUUGUUGAUGCUAAAAUUUAGUUGAGUUUUUUUAUUUGAUUGGUUGAGUCGAGUUGAGAUUCUAUCGUUCUAACUAGGAAAAAAAACGUAAGGGUAAUGUUGAGGAGAUGAUCAAUUUAAAUCAUAUUUUGUAAAUCAUAUGACGUGGUUGUUGAUGAAGAUUAUUACUUAAGUGUUGAUUAAUGUAUUUGUUUCUUAUUAUUGACACAUCACAUGGUUUGCAAAUGUUGUCCAAAAAAUUGAUCCACCUUGCAUUAAUCAGAAAAAAAAUUAGAAAAGUCUUGGAAGACAUUGACGAGGUGAUUAUAAAAGUGACACCAUUGUUGUAUCAAAUACCUAGUUCUCCAUUUAGUGGUACUUAUCUUUUUGAUGUUGAAAAAAAUACUAAAUUUUUAAUCUUUCAUCCCAGUUGAUUCUAGAAAGACAAUUCGUGAGUAGUUGGUAUAGCGACACUGAGUCUAUUUAAUUAGAGAAAGUAUGAGGUUAACUCAGACAAAUGUGACAAUUGUAAUGAGAAAAGAAAGGUUACUAGCGUGUGUAUUAAAGAAUUCUUGUAGCCCUAUAUUGAUCACCUUAUUAAUUGUUGCCUAAUUAAAAUCUCUCCCACUAUCAUGAAUGUGCCUAACAUGUCCUUCAAUGAGUAAUUGACCAGUCCUCCUAAUGAAUGAGAUUUUAGCUGUUCUUACUGCACAUAGGCAUCACACUUUCAACCAAGCAGCUAUGUUAGCUGGGUUCUCAAAGUCUGUCUAGGAUGAUUCCUGAGAUGUGUUGGGUUCAAACAUUUUAUGUCACGUCCCGGCUCGAAACGGAUCACUUUCCGGGCCCGCUCUACCACUGUAGCACGAUAUUGUCCGUUUUAGGCCUCGAUCAUGUCCUCACGGUUUUGUUUCUGAGAACUCACGAGCAACUUUCCAGUGGACCACCUAUCAUGGGAGUGCUUUGGCCACCUUCUCGCUUAACUUCGGAGUUCCGACGGAACCCGAAGCCAGUAAGCUCCCAAAAAGACUCGUGCUAGGUAGGGAUGCGAAUAUACAUUUAAGGAUCACUCCCAUGGACGAUAUGGGAUGUUACAAUCCACCCCCCUUAGGGGUCCGACGUCCUCGUCGGCACACUUCCGCCCAGGGAUUAGCUCUGAUACCAUUUGUCACAUCCCCGCCUGGGGCGGACCACUUCUCGAGCCCGCUCCACCACCGUAGCACGAUAUUGUCCGCUUUGGGCCCCGACCACGCCCUCAUGAUAUUGUUUCUGGAACUCACGAACUUCCCAGUGGGUCACCCAUCAUGGGAGUGCUCUGGCCACCUUCUCGUUUAACUUCGAAGUUCCAACGGAACCCGAAACCAGUAAGCUCCCAAAAUGCCUGAUGCUAGGUAGGGAUGAGAAUAUACAUUUAAGGAUCACUCAUCUGGACGAUGUGAGAUGUUACAUUUUAAGCUCGGAAACUCAAACGCAAUUAUAACGCCAGGAACAUCACAUUUUUGUACCACAAAAUAUUAAACCGAGAAUAGUUUAGCAGACGCAUAUUUGUACAAUAUUUGUACACAAAAGUUAUGCAACUAGUUAAAAGUUAGUACAACACUGUUGAGAUGGUUUGAUAAGGUAAAGCCGUAAGCUUAAAUACACCUUUCAAAUUGACUCGUCAUGGCAAGAAUUUAUUUGCAGGAGCACAUGGAUGGAAGUUACUUCUUAUAGUUCAUCUCUACCUGUAAUAAACUUGAAUUGCAGAACUGUUUUGGGUCCUUCUCUAACCCUCCUAACAAUUGUACCUUGCAAUUUACUAAUUAUUUUUAAUUUGCUAUUUAUAGGGACGAAUUCGUGACAUCACUUUUUUACACAAUUUUUGAGGUACAUUUUUGUGGGCAUACUUUGUAAUGUGUUUCAACUAUCCGAACUGUCUAUCAUUUAAGUAUUUCCUUAAAGAUCAUGUGCACCAAAUUACCUAAAAUUGGAACCAUAUGACCGUUGGAUUACUAGUUUAGGGUUUCUUUGUAGAACUAUACUCGUCCAUUUAUUCACUACAAAUGAAUGUCUUAAUGGUUUGGAUUUGUCUAAUUUUUUGUAAGCAUGAUUUAUGAAUGAUGUUCUAUAAAAAAAAGAUAGUUUAAAAUACAUUACAGAAUGUGUCCCACAAACACGUGUGUAAAAAUUAUGUAAAAAAAAUGGUGUCGCGAAUCCACCUUCAUUAUCUAUCUAUCUAUAUGAGUGCGAACAUAUAAUUGUACUAAUUGAGAAAAAAAAAUUAGCAAAUGAAAUUUUCUAUGCAAAUUGUGUGACUUAAUCGAAUUUUUCCCUCCACUUAGUGUAAAAUCUAUCGUUGUACCAAAAAAUAAAAAAUUUCCUAUUUAGAUCAUCACCCCAAAAAAGAAUGAAAUUAUAUGCCAGAUGCAAAAACUGAGAAUCAAAUUUACAUUAUUUUUUGAGCGAAAGAUAUCUACACCAAGGAAUAAAGGUUAACUAAAUCUCAUAAUAAAUUAGUAAUAAUGUGGUUCAAAUUUCAUUUUCAACAACUGAGAAUUAAUUUACUCAUAUACAUACGUUGAAGCAUAACGCAAUCUCUUCACAAGAUUUGACAUUUCCUUUCCAAAAAAAACCAGAAAACUAACAAAAUAAAUAAAUAAAUAACGUGCCUAUUAAGACCUUGAAUUAAAGGAAUUAAUUAAUCCCAAACAAAAGAGGCAGGAGGAGCUGCAGUUAGUCGAUGAAACAGAACCCUAAAGACCUCUUCGUAGGAACCAAAUCCUGGCCGUCAUUCCUCGUAUCCAACGGCUCAGAUUCCUACACAGCUCUUGCUUAUCAUUGCCCCCUUUCUCACUUCACUGUCUCCCCCUCCCCCUCCCCCUCUCUCCUCUCACAUUUGUUAAAAAAAAAAUGUUUGUAUCCAUAUUUUUGAUCAUCUAAGCUUCCGAUCCUCGUCUCACUCAGUACAAAAAUCCACUCUUUAACUUUACGGAAAGAACAAUCUUUUCACUUUCAGUGCAAUUUUAAGAAUGGGUUCGUAGUUUUUGAUCGAGAAAAUCGCUUUAUCUAAAGUUUUGUAGCAAUCCAUCUGUUUUUAGCAGUUUUAAGCUAAACCCUAUCUGAAAGUCUCAAUCUUUGUUCAGUUUUCAGUGGUUUUUGUUUGAUUUGGUUGAUGAUUUUUGGUUGUUGAUUGUAUGAAAUGGUCACCGAUGCUUAUUCAAAGAUGAUGUCUGAAAUGUCAAUGCGAUCGAUGUCAAAGAGUGGCGAUUACAGCGAAGAUUUGAGUACGUUGAUUCGUGAACAGAGGCGGCAGCAUGAAGCAAGUGAGCGGGAGAAGGAGCUGAACAUAUACAGGAGUGGGUCAGCGCCGCCCACCGUGGAAGGCUCGUUGAAUGCUGUCGGAGGCUUGUUUGAGGCGUCUGCACUGUCGGGUUUCACGAAAAACGGCACUAAAGGGUUUGCGACCGAAGAGGAGCUUCUCGCUGAUCCAGCUUAUGUGAAUUACUACUAUUCCAAUGUUAAUCUCAAUCCACGGCUUCCGCCGCCGCUGCUUUCGAAGGAGGACUGGCGUUUUUCCCAGCGGUUGCAAGGCGGAGGUGGGGGUUCGGCAGUUGGAGAUAGGAGGAUAGGGGGUAGGAGUGGCGGUGAAGGGUCACUUUUUUCUGUGCAGCCGGGGAUUGGAGGGAAGGAGGAGAAUGGUGUGCAGGCGAGGAAGGGUGCGGCAGAGUGGGGCGGUGAUGGGUUGAUUGGGUUGCCAGGGUUGGGACUUGGGAGUAGGCAGAAGAGUAUUGCAGAGAUUAUUCAGGUGAAGUGUUAGUAAAGUUUGUUUUUUGAAUUGGUUUAUAUGAUAGCUUGUUAUCUUGAAUAUACAAUGUUUGUUUGCGUUUGGAAGUAUUUUAAGUUUUCAUGUGAUAAGCUUAAGCUUACUGGAGUAUUAUGUGAUUUGAUUUCUUCUCAAUUUUGUGUUUUACAAAGGUUUAAUCGUUAUGUUUCUUCGUUGAUUUCUCGCUUAUAUUUUGUGUUUAUCAUUAUAUGAUUUACUCGAUAUCUAGCUCAGCUCCUCUAAGUAGGGUGCGCCUUUCGAUUAUCCUAAUGAAGUGGAACAAGUCAAUGUUUAGUGCCCUUGACAGUGGUUUCUCUGAAUUGUUAGCUGAUGAGACUAAUUCCAUGAAAUGGAGGUGUUUGCUGGGAUGAGAAAUUGAACUAGUUCUCCUGACACUGGUUCAGUUAUUUCUUUAUUUUUUAUUAUAAUUUUUUUUAAUUUUUUUUUUUUAUAAUUAUCAACUUAUCUGCUGUAGACACUAGACACUGAUAUUGAAAAGUGGAAUUUGUUUUUCAGUAAUUCUUUUAUCUUGCUUAUUAACUAUAAUUUUAACUCUUUGCAUAAAUGUUGCACCAGUAAAAUGUAAAGUUAAUUCGAAUGGAAACUGUUUCUGCGUAAGGUAUUUGGAUGUAUUUUCUUGGUUCAUUGGCAGAUUUGCUCCUGUGGUCUUUUUGUUGUAUGCUUGUUUUUCCUGGUUAAAUUUCAUUGCCCGCGACAACUUUCGCAUAAUAAAAUUUGAAUUUGUUUAUCAGAUAUGCUGUCUAAAACUCUUGAUAUUUCAAUGCAGGAUGAUAUACAUAAUACAAAUGUCUCAAGGCACCCUUCUCGUCCUGCUAGCCGGAAUGCGUUUGAUGAUGGUGUUGAAGCUUCAGAUACCCAGUUUGCUCAUUUACAGGGAAUGUCAGCUGUUCAGAACGGCGGUUCAUCUAGUUCUCAUACAUAUGCUUCUGCUCUGGGUGCUUCAUUGUCGAGAAGCAACACACCAGACCCUCAGCUUGUAGCUAGGGCUCCUAGUCCUCGAAUUCCACCAGUUGGAAGGGUUUCCUCCAUGGAUAAAAAAAUUGGCAAUGGUCAAAACUCAUUCAAUGGUGCCUCACUUAAUGUGAAUGAGUCUGCAGAUCUGGCAGCUGCUUUAUCUGGUAUGAACCUGUCAACAAAUGGUAGGAUUGAUGAGGACAAUCGUGCACGCUCACAAAUGCAACAUGAAAUUGAUAAUCACCAUAACCUUUAUGACAUGCAAGGUGAUUGGAACCAUAUUAAACAAAAUUCGUACUUGAAUAAGUCUGAUUCUGGGAAUUUUCAUCUGCAUUCUGCUUCCCAAUCUUCUAACAAAUCUUAUCAGAAUAUGGGAAGAGGCAGUGGAUUUGGUAGGGAUCUGAACAGCCCUUCUUAUAUGUCUGACAAUCUAGUUGAUAUUAAUAAUCCUGCUGUAUCUUCUGGUAACUCAUACUUAAGAGGACCUGUGCCAGCUCUUAAUGGCCGAGGAAGCUCACACUCCCACUAUCAGAAUGUAGAAAAUACCUCAUUUCCGAACUAUGGCUAUUCUGGUAGUCCUUCAUCUCCAUCAAUGAUGGGUAGUCCACUUGGUAAUGGUAGUUUACCACCCUUAUUUGAAAAUGCUGCUGCUGCGUCUGCAAUGGGUGGGUUGGACUCUGGAGCUUUUGGAGGGAUGUCUCUAGGACCAAAUCUGUUGGCUGCAGCUGCUGAAUUGCAGAAUAUUAGGGUUGGAAAUCAUGGUGGUGGGAGUGCUCUUCAGGUUCCCAUGAUGGACCCAUUGUAUGUUCAGUACUUGAGAUCAAAUGAAUAUGCAGCUGCACAGCUUGCAGCCCUUAAUGAUCCCACAAAAGAUAGGGAAGGCAUGGGUAAUACGUACAUGGAUUUACUUGGUUUGCAAAAAGCUUAUUUGGGGCAGUUGCUUUCGCCCCAAAAAUCACAAUUUGGUGCUCCCUACAUUGGCAAGUCUGGUAGCUUGAAUCAUGGUUAUUAUGGAAAUCCAGCAUAUGGGCAUGGGAUGUCUUAUUCUGGAACACCAUUGGGUGGUCCCCUUCUUCCAAACUCUCCUGUUGGACCUGGUAGUCCUGCCAGGCAUGGUGAGCGGAACUUGCGUUUUUCUUCUGGGUUGAGGAACAUGGGUGGAAGUCUGAUGGGAGCUUGGCACUCCGAAAAUGGUGGAAAUUUGGAUGAAAGUUUUGCCUCCUCUUUACUAGAUGAGUUCAAAAGCAAUAAGACUAAAUGUUUUGAACUUUCAGAGAUUGCAGGGCAUGUUGUUGAGUUCAGGUAAAUAUUUGUCGCUGUUUCUUUAAAUCUUUGUGCCCUUAUGUGUUCCAGAUAUCCACAACUUAAUUCACUCAUAUAAUACCUUGAACAGUGCCGACCAGUAUGGAAGUCGGUUUAUUCAACAAAAACUUGAAACUGCCACAAUUGAAGAGAAGAACAUGGUUUUUGAUGAAAUUAUGCCCCAAGCACCAUCUCUUAUGACCGAUGUGUUUGGUAAUUAUGUGAUUCAGAAGGUACCUUUUCCCCUUUAGAUUGAUUUGCCUUUAUGUGCAAUUUUAUGUGUCCUCGUGCCUAGCAUGUUCAUGAUAUGCAGUAGUUAAGUGGCAGAAAUUAAAUGUUGCAGUUUUUCUUCUAUGUCUGACUUUUGCACUUUGGUUCAGUUUUUUGAGCAUGGAACUCCAGCACAAAUAAGAGAACUUGCAGACCAGCUCACUGGGCAUGUGCUGACCCUUAGCCUUCAAAUGUAUGGCUGUCGAGUGAUCCAGAAGGUAUGUACAGUUAGCUGACUGAACACAGUAAUUAACUUUCCAUAAUGAUAUUCCUUGCAUGUUUUACCAUUGGCUUUCAUACGAACUCAGAAGGAUUACCUUCUACAUAUUGUAUGUGUUGCAGGAGACAGGAUACGUAUCUAAUAGAAAUUAUUUGUCUAUAAAUUUCAGGCUAUAGAAGUUGUUGAGCUGGACCAGCAGACUAAAAUGGUAGCUGAACUGGAUGGUCAUGUUAUGCGUUGUGUUCGUGAUCAAAAUGGCAACCAUGUUGUCCAGAAGUGUAUUGAAUGUGUACCUGAAGAUGCCAUCCAGUUUGUUGUUUCAACUUUUUAUGACCAAGUCGUGACACUGUCUACUCAUCCAUAUGGUUGUCGUGUCAUACAGGUUAAGAACCUCUCCAUUUUCUGACUCGCAUUCAUUUUGCAUCUGCCUAUUAAUCAUAUAUGUUGAAGAUAAAUGGUUAUGAAUGCAACCAAAUGGUAUAGUAACUUUGAUUUAACAGAGAGUUUUGGAGCACUGCCGUGACCCCAAAACGCAGCAAAUAAUGAUGGAUGAGAUUUUGCAGUCUGUUUGCAUUUUGGCACAAGACCAAUAUGGAAAUUAUGUUGUCCAGGUUUGUUUCAUUUCUAAGAAACUUUUGUCACUCUACCUUCUCAUUAUUAAAGGAAAUAAUUCCACAGUGGUUUAAUGGAAUCUGUUGUUUAAGUAUCAAAUGGACCUCUUAACUUAAUCAACUAAUUUUCUUUGUUGGAUGUUAUUUUGGUUCUUCUUUUAUACAGUAUAGAUGUUCAAUUUUGAUUUUUCUCUGCACAUCCUAGUCUCAUCUUAACCUCAAUUUUGUUGGCUCUUCAUGCAUUUGUGACUUCACUUAAACCGGUUAAUCAACUUCUGGUAUCAUGCUUAUAAUGGGACUAUUAGCUGUCCAUUAUGUUGAUCAUAUGGGUGUGAUUCAUGCCUUUUCAUCAGUCACACUUCAAUUUACCCUGAAUUUGGAGUGUAACGGGGUUCUUGAUGUUAGUGUCAAAUAUAGCUCUCUGUUUUAAAUUGCUUAUGCAUUUAGUUGGUUGUUCAAAAAUUGGUGGGGUUACAACGGUUGCUACUAAUGUUACAUUGUCAGUUAUUUAGUCUCACAACAAUAUGUAUCUUCAGUUUUCCCUGUUGUAUAUACAUGAUCUCAUUUAGAUGGAGGGAUUGGAUAGAAUUGAGGAAUAAGAUGAUUUCAGCUCCGCUCCACCCCUCCGCCACCAAUUUAAUGUUUUCAUACUUAUUUUCUUUGAGCUCUGUUUAUACACCUUACUUGGCUUAUUGAAUGAGUUUAUGCACCCAUACCUGAUUGUUUCCUGAUGUAAUUUAUUAACUGAAUACGGUUUUGUUUGCACUUACAAUAAGUCGAAAGAUAAAUAUUAUAUUUUGUGAUGAUCUGUGGAAGUAUAGUAUGGUAGACACUGUUGUUGAUUGAACGUAUUCACGUCAUAGAACUGUUACUCGGAGAGUUACCUCCCUGCCUCUGGUUUUGCACCAGAGCCAUUGUGUCAGGUUGAUGACAUACAAUUUUUUAAGAAGAAUUGAGUACCUCUUUUAUACCUUUGGUCCUUUGUGCUUUGUAAACUUUACUUUCUUUACAUUUCAGAAUAGGCUUGCAAAAGCUAACUCAGAAACCGUAAAAACAAAUAAAUGUCCCAUAAGCUGAUAGCCUGAUGUUUACUGCAAAGACGUGCCUGUAAUAACUAGAUUCAUGAACCUUCUUUUCAUGGAACCCGCAAAGGAGUUGUGGAUACUUUAAAUUGUGGUUUAAUUUGGAAACAACAAUACGUAGCCUUUGCUGUAUGUAGUAAACUAUAUAUUUUAUUCUUUGUUUACAUUAAACUCAGUCAACUGAUUGUAUUUAUUUUUACAGCAUGUGCUGGAACAUGGAAAGCCACAUGAACGGUCAUGUAUAAUUAAGGAACUAACUGGGCAAAUCGUUCAAAUGAGCCAGCAGAAGUUUGCGUCAAAUGUCAUAGAAAAGUGUUUAAGUUUUGGAACUCUUGCUGAACGCCAGGCCCUUGUAACUGAGAUGCUUGGUACCACUGACGAAAAUGAGCCCCUUCAGGUUUGCUACUUACUAUGAAGUUUUUGGUGUGCACUGUUGGUGAAUGUAUUCUUUUGUUAUAGCAUAAUUUUCUUUCUUUAAUUCUUUUCUUGUCUCAAUGUGCCAUCUUCAACUAUAUUUUACUCUGGUCAAGUUUGCAUAGAUGGGUUCCUGAACUAAGUGCGAACCUUUUCAAAUUGCUGAAAAGAGUUGACGUCUCUAACUUUUGGGGAUUUUAUGAAAAUAAUCUUUACAGUUUGAAGUAACUUUUCUAUAACAUCCGAAGCUCUUAUGAUUACUUUUAUUAUGAUUAUGCUGUUACCUGAAACGAUGGUUUCUUAGGUUGAACUCGUGAAUUCAUUUGAAUACUAGUGAACUCAUUGGGUUUACUUUCACUUAUUAUCUUUGACAUGUAAAAGCUAACUUUUACCUUAACAUUCUCAAUGACAGUUUGCCUCACCUUUGCAAAUUAAUUGCUUUUUGAUGCAUCUAGCUGUUUUGACAAAAUCGCGCUAAAGCUAGGGUGUCACCUGUAGGUGGCGCGUUGUGUGGCCCGAGCACAGUGAUAAGUGAGCAAGGGUCGCUGUAUCUCUAGCUGACCCCACUUAGUGGGAAAAGGCUUUGUUGUUGUUUUUGCUGUUUUGAUAAAGUAUUUGAAUCGUGUCCUUAGUAUAUAAUAUUCAACAAUGUGCUAGUACGACUAUUCAAAGCUUGAAUUUAUUAAUGCAUAUAUCAUUUUCAUUUUUGAUUAACAUUGACUAGACGAACACAAACUUUUUAAAUUGUGAAAGAUUUUUGUUUUGUCAGUAUCAAAUUUUCCAAAUACUAUGGCUCUAGGAAAAUGAUUUGCCAGGCAUUGGUUUUUAAGACGGGUAUAUGCAUAGACUAGGGUCUUUUAAUAUUCCUUCUUAUUCUUGUUCUGUUUGAAUUUAGGCGAUGAUGAAGGAUCAGUUCGCAAACUAUGUUGUACAGAAAGUGUUGGAAACUUGUGACGAUCAGCAACUUGAACUAAUCCUUAACCGAAUUAAGGUUCACCUGAAUGCCCUGAAGAAGUAUACUUAUGGGAAGCAUAUAGUUGCCCGUGUAGAGAAACUUGUUGCUGCUGGGGGUACUUUUUCGCUCUUUCUCCUUUGUCAUUUCAUAUCAAUCUUACAUCUCAUAGUGAUGCUUGAACACAUGAUACACAAAUGUAGUUCUGAUUCAUCGUUUGGGUUUUCUUGCAAUGCAAGAAGUUGGUUGUCAUUUCCAAAAUGAAUAAUAUGAUUUUCUAGCCUAAUAUGUAUUGUUAUUCCGGCUUCAAGCUUUGGACUUGCUACUGGUGUAAAAAACCUGGUUGCCUCAAAUCGCUAACAAGGUGCUGAAUCUUUUGCAGAGAGGAGGAUUAGCAUUCUGGCUCCCCAGGCUUCUGCUGCUUAGAUGGGGUACGGGGACGAAGUUGUACAGCUAACUGAGGAUAAUAUGAGCCCCUCUGUUUCUUUCAUGUCAAGUAAAGGCUCUGUCUAUGUAUUGAGAUGGAUAAGGCGCGAUUAAAAUAAAGAUCGUUGGUUGUACUUAAAACUGUACAUUUUUAGUUUGAGGAUAUACCUUAGAGUAGUCACGGCGCAGACGGUGAACACACCUGAGGCCCCUGCAGAGGAGAUAAAUUUAGUGUACAAGUUUUAAGGGUGUAAAAAGCGAGGCAGUAGUAGAAUUUGUGGUCGUGACUGUACAAAUGUUUUACCAGGUGGAGUCCUCCAUAAAUUUUUUUAACGUACGGAUUAUUUUCUAAUUAAGGAACCUUUUUUCCGGACAAUUUGCGAGUUGAGAUUCUAUCCAGAUUCAUUAUGUCAUGCUGUUACGAAAUUUCAAAUUUUACCUUUCGCUGUUUCUUUCGACGUUUCGAGCACAUGAUGAAGCUCAAAUUGGUGACUGGUAGUCGUCGUGCUUGUUGAACGGCACCAUGAAUGUUUUUGAGCUUCACAUCUGUCCUCCCGAAGACUUUUAACCGAGGCUUUAUAUGUUCAGGGAACUGAUUUCCGCAUUCCGGUCUUCUCCUUAUGCGUUCUUCUUCGCUUCGGUUGAUUGAUUCUUCUUUGAUGUAUUCAAUCGACGGUUGGAAUACAGAGGAGUGUAUGGCGAGAAAAAGAAUUGCAGAAAUAUUUCAUGUGUUUAUUUAUCGAGAAUGGCAUAUCAAGAAAGAACGAGCAUCUGUUCCAUAGCCGCAAUAGAUUCUAGUUACCCAAAUGAUAUGACUGAAACCAUAAUACCAAAGAAGCAAAGUAAUACAUAGCACUGACAAUUAGUGCCAAAUUGCCAACAAUACAAGAAAAACCCACCAAACGUACCCAGAAUUUUGCCCUAGAGUUUGGUCUGCUCAAAUCAACUAUAUUUAGGAGGGCAAAACGUUAUGACAUACCUAGGAGCCGUACAAAUCUUAAGCCCUGUACAAUCAUCAAAGGCAUAACUACAAGCUCCAGCACAAUACCGGUAGGCUUGCAACUCUCUGGAUCUGCAAACUCCCCUCUGCAGCAAUACCGGUCUGAUUUCCGGCGAAGCAAGCGCUCUUGCACCCUACCUUGUUUCUUGACCACCAAGGCAAGUGGCAGCAAACGUUCAAGUCAGCCUCACAGGCAGCAACUCCACACCCACUACCACCUAUUGGCCUCAUUGAAGCUGGCACGUUGAAUCCGUCAAUCAAACUCACAUCACAGUAAUGCAAGGCUGAGUUCGAGGUUCCGAGCGUCAUUUCAAAGGGUGUGGCAGGGGGGACUCUGCCGAGUCCCCAGCAUUGUAAGAGGCCGGCGCAAUCAUCCGUUUGGCAUGUGCCUUUGCCAGUUUUUUCAUCAAAGCAGCAGCCUUGCCUCCCCUAUAGCCUGCCCGACCAGUUUUCGGGGACGUUAAGGACUUGUUGCUCGCCGCUGGAGGGCUGGAAGCCGCGUCUCGAGGAGUUUGGUGGCCUGCUUGCCGAGGAUUCCGGGUCAUAUACUCUCCUUGCAGUUGUUCACUACGAUGAGUUGAGUCCCAUCUGCAAACAACAAUGCUAUUUGUCAACCAAAGUUUUAUAGAAACCAACAAAUAAGGAAUGUUCAGCGUUCGAUUCUCUCCGAUGUAACAAAAAAAUUUCGAGUAAAAAAGGAGAGAGUAUUUGAUUGCCUGUGAAGGAGAGGGAAAUGAGAAAGGAGAGAAGGAAGAAGAUUUGACGUGAGAUUGGCAUUUGUUCAUGAGUAAUGGAGAUGUGAGUUGGUAACUGGGAGGCUCUUCUAUUUACAUAGUGUGGAAAAGUGAAAAGGGGUUUUCCUUCGUUCUCGCCAUCAUGGAAAGGAGUGGUAGCCUUAAGAACAACUGCACAUGUAAUGGCGGUUUGCAAAUUGCAUAGGUUAGACCAGUUGGUCAGGACAUUGCGUCCGUAAUUUUUCACUUAAAUUAAAGCAGUUUAGUUUUAUUCAUGUGGAUUGGAUCUAUGAGCCUCUCAUGAAGCUUGUCUAUAGAAAAAGAUGAUUGCUUAAGUGAAAAAGGUGAAGAGAAUUUGACAGCACAAGAAAGCACACUUGAAACCAGUAUAGAUUACUCUAGGGUUUGGUUGAGAUGAUUUUUGGGAAAAUGUAUAUGAAUAUGUCCCAGGAAGGUUUUUGAGAAAAAAUUAAAUGAAACGAGUGCAUUCAUUUUCGAUAGUGACUUUUUACAGUCAAAAGUUUUGCUUUCUGCUUUCUUUGUUUUUAUUCAUUAAUUCUUUGAUCUAUUUAAUUCUAAAAUUGCAAAAAAAAUAAAAGAUUACAUAAUAAAAAACGUGAGUGAAAAAUCAUUUUCUUUUUUGUCACAUGUGGCAAGUACAUGGUAUGAAACAGAUAAGACCUUGUAACUAGACGAGCUUCGGCAUUUUACUUUCUUAAAAUGUGAAAAUCAUGAAUUGAAAAGCGAAAUAAGAGAAUUGAUAAGAGAUCAACAAAUUAAUUUGAAGAAUGAGAUUAUUAAUAAUAAUGUGGAAUCCACUAUUUUUUUUUUAUUUCAUACGUGUUCCUAAAUACUUAGGAAGUUAUUAACUGAAAUAAUUUCAAUACCCGUGUUUUAAUAAAUGCAAAGCAGUUCAUAUCAAAAUAAUUCCGAAACUCUUAACGUAAACUAGCAUUUCUGCACGCGCUCAUGCGCUUGCGAAAGACAUUUUUUUAAUCACGGUGCACUACGCGCAACUUACACAUUUUAGAUGUAUUUAUAUGCGAGGAUUGGUUCAAUGUAUAGAAACAUAAAAUAAAGGCGAUUAUCAUCUCUAAUAAUACAGGCGAAUUUAAAGUAUUUUAUCUAGAAUAUGUAAAAAAAAAAAGUAAUAAAAUUGAGAAAGACAAUACUCUUUUAAUAAUUAGUACACAAAUAAUCAUACAUCAUAUGAAUUUUACACACGAAUUCAUUAAUAAUUAAGCAGGGCAUUGAAUAGAAAUUUCAUAAUGGAGUACACCUUCACUAAUCUGUCAUCCUUUUCGAUCAAGAAAUUUUUCAGAACUUCCACUUUGUAGUCCCAAUCCUUAUUGACAAAUCUGCAAAGAAUAAAGAAAACGAAAGGAGUGCAAAAUCAAUAUUGGAUUUGGGGAUUUUCCCUAGCUCUCUAAAUGCCCUCUAUCUUUUAACAACACACAAUAGUCAUGAAACAUGAAGACAUCAAUACCCGCUUGAACCGGCGAGGCAGCUCGAAUUUCAGAGCGAAUGACACCUUCAGAAACUUUAAUAACCUGUAAUCCUUUUCAACAAAGAAAUUUUUCAGAGCUUCCACUUUGUAGUCCUAAUCCUUAUUUACAAAUCUGCAAAGAACAAAGAAAAUGGGUAAAAAUGCAUGCUUUGAUCUCCUGAUUCAAUUGAAAAUGCAUGCUUUGAUCUGUAUAUAGUUGUUGACCCUAAAAACUACCAAGCCUACGUGGCACGCAGACCGAGUAACUAAUGAGCUAACUACGUCAUUCGGUUAUGUGUGGGGCGUGCCAACUCGAUGGUCGAGCUCGGCUGGUGAGUAAAAUGAGUUGAUGUUGCGUUGAGCGUGUUGCUAACUUCUUGAUCUUGCGACUGCGGCUGAGGAAGGAAUACGUCUAGGCCUUUGGGUUCUAGAGCCUGAAGACAAGGCUGCUAGUUCUACGAAGUUCAAUAUCAAAUUCGACUUUCAAUGUGCCGAAUGUAGUCACUUGUAACACCUCACUUCGUCGAGAAGGUUAAUGAGAUGACCUCUGCCAAUAAGAAUUCAAAAAUCUUUCUCGAUCGAGACUUGGAUAGAUAACCAGUCGGCCUCGACGCAGUGCUGUUUAUCUGAAGGUGCUUCGUGGUCGGCUGAUUCUACGGCAACAAUGCUGUUUAUCCAAACUGAAGAUGUUCGCCGGUUGCCUUCACAGUGCUAUUUAUCCAAACUGAAGAUGUGUCGGCGAAAAAGAAAUUAAAAAUCUUAAGGUUGUUAAGAGGUUUCACGUAGAGCGAGAAUUUAUGCAGGGCAGUUUGUGUGUUGAAUUUGAGGGGCUUUUCCCGCUGCCACUGCGUCUGUAUUUAUAAGGUUGGUGUACUUGCUUGGCACGACUAGAUAAUUUUGUAGUCCAACUGCAACUAUAUUUCUCGGAACCGAAAUUAAUCAACGUCAGAGACUAAGGCAUAUCUUUCAGAUAGAUGUUCGUGAUUUUCCAAACCUCAUAAAAGCCUAUCAAAAUAAAAGUCUUCUUAUCAUCAUAGCCUAGCCUAGCUAGACUCGUCAUCAUUAUCCAAGACCAUUAUUUUCAUUAUCCUUACAUCCCAUGCAUACAUAAAAAACAAAAUAUCAUGGUUGGUAGUUUUGCAUUAUCUGCAAAACCAUCCUGUUACCAUCACAUCACCUUAUUUUGAUUACUCCAAUCUGGCAUCCUCAUCUUGCACUAAUAUAUAUGCCAAUCUAUAUCCAUUUGCCAACACUGCAGUAACGUAUUAGGACUCUUAAUAAAAUACUCUGAUGCUCUAAUCCUCCGCACGUCUGAAUCCCAAAUUAAAUUGAAUUGUAUUGCUCGCUUUCAAGUUGGAGAUAUAAUUCACAUCUCAUCUUGUACAAGAAAAUAUUAAGAUAUUUCACCAUUAAAAGAUAAUAUCAUGAUUAAAGUCACAAUAUAUUCUUCAAUAAUAAUUAUCUUAACCAUUCCGUCAUCCAACGUUUGAGAUUUAUGUUAAUCAACGGCUUUGAUCGCACAAACCGAUAGUGUAAAAUCAGGUCCAAACAAUAGUAAAUGCACAUAUACCUCCUAGGCUCAUACCACCAAUAAUGAUGCAAUUAAGUAAUUUGAUUUAAGGUUGCCAAAGUGUAUUCAACCAAUUUGACUGUACCUUAAACCCAUACAUCAUAUAUCAAAAAUGUCAAUAGAAGGUUGUUACCUUGAGGAAGAAAAGCUAAUUAGAUUUUAUAAGACAUAUAUGAGUGCACUGCAAUAUCAACCACAUUGAUUUUUGUUUGUUUAAUGAAAUGAAAAAAAAGCAUUAGGAUUAAAGUCCAAACUCAGUACGAAACUCACCAACUGACCUUCUGAAUAUGAAAUGUAGGCUAACUGUACAAAUUUCCAAUUAUGCCCUUGUGCUUGUUGACUUCAGAAGGGGAUGAUAAUCCACACACAAUGUGAAACGGUUGAAAUUAAUGAAAAAUAUUGAUUACCAAAAUAUUUAAAAAAAAAUUAAAUUACCAAAUUUUCUUACCCUAUGUGAAUCGCAUGCACUCAGCAUAAAGCAAACAAUCACAGAGCGCAAGAAAUUUUUCAUUUUCUUCUACUUUGUAGUCCCAAUCCUUAUUCCGCCGCAUAUUUUUCCCUAUUUCAGACGAACUCCAAGAUCUACAUCACACAAACCAAAUAAAAACUCUUUCUUUACUAAAACCCUUUACCAAAAACCGAUCAAAGUUUGUAAAUUUAAACAAAAGAUCAAGUUUUGGAGCAAAAAGCACACCUACCUGUAUGGCCAUGAAAGCUGCAGUCAAGGUGAUCGAGCCUUAACCUGCGCGCAAGAGACAAAAGUUUUGCAGAAAAGUUUCUCAGCACUAUGAUAUAUAGACUAAUAAAAAAGAGUACUUUCUAUUAAACUCCAAACAAAAUUUAGAAAACCCCAUUUUUAUUUCUCCCCUUCCGGUUAAGCAAUCAAUAUAUACUGUUUGGAUUUCCCUUUCUGCGAAACUGUUUCCUUAGACGUUCGGGUUUUUUCCUCCUCCGUUUACACGUCUGCACCGCGUGUCAUAUCACAUUUGUUCGAUCAUGUGAGGAAGAAGUUUGAUCAGAAAAUGGGGUUGUGGAAGACAGACGUGGGUGGGGUUGGUUUCCCUGUAAUUUUUUAAGUUUGUAAUUCUCUUAUUUAUUAGGUUGUAUUCUGAUUACUUGCUGACAAAAAUACCUUUGUGGAUUAUGAAUCCAUUUUUCACAGUAAUUUUAAUUUUUUUUUUUGAGGGGCUUUAUAGUCCAAUAUUUUUUUGGUGAAGUCUUGAGACACUAAACUCUCGUUCUGCCAUUCUAAUAUUAAAGAUUAAAGAUAAACAUGCCUUAAUUCUGUUAGUUUAACUACCACGAAUCGCCGGUUCACUCAUUUUCCGGGCAGCGGCCGACUCGAGUUUCAAGUAGAAUCACGGCUCGUCAGCCAGACAACCGGAAGGUUCGGUUUCUCGUUAUCUAAAACCGCUUCAACUAACCCUGAGCGGGCCACUCGGUUAAAAAAAAACCAAAAACUAAAUAAUGGACAAAAUAACCGGUUGAGCCCAACCCUAACCGGUCCAUCCGGUCGCGUCGCCCACGGUUUUAUAAUCUCCUUCUAACCGCCCUAACUCGGUUCUGUUUCCCUUCCUCUCUGUUUAUCAGAAAGCAUUCAAACCAGAAACAUGUAAGCUCUCUCUGUCUCUCUCACUCUUAAUUUUAAUUCAAUUAAUUAAAUUUAGUGUAUUAUUUGAACCAUUUGGAUGCUGGGUUUGCUGGGUUUCUGUUAAUUACUUGGUUUAAUUCGAAUUAAAGAAGAGAGUCCAUGUCUUUGUUGUAAUGGGGUUUGGCCUUUUUGCAUAAACUAGUUAAUUCUCUGAGGUUUUGUCCAUGGCUUCUGGUCUGGUAAUGGAGCCCGUGCCGAUAACGUCACAAAAGCACGACCCGGCAUGGAAACACUGUCAAAUGUUUAAGAUUGGGGAGAGGGUUCAGCUGAAGUGCAUAUAUUGUAACAAAUUGUUUAAGGGUGGUGGGAUUCAUAGGAUUAAGGAACACCUUGCCGGUCAGAAGGGUAAUGCGUCGACUUGUCUGAGAGUUCCGCCGGAUGUUCGGGCUCAAAUGCAGCAGAGUCUAGAUGGGGUAGUGCUGAAGAAGAGGAAUAGGCAGAAGCUUGAUGAGGAGAUUACUAACAUUAAUCCCUCACCUCAUGGUGAGGCAGAGCCGAUUGCUGAUCAGAGUGAUGUGAGUAAUGGGGGUCAGUUGAUUGGAGUUCCCGAGGCGCUUGAGCACAAUUCGGGGUUGUUGGGGAACCAAGAAGGAAUGACAAGUGGGAGGAGUUUGGGGAGAAGGAAAAGGGGGAGAGGCAAAAGUUCUUUUGCAGGACAUAGUGCUCUUGUUGUUAGUAAUAGUGCUGCUUUAGGUUCUCCAAAGGUGAACAAUUUUGUUCACGAGGCAAUUGGAAGGUUUUUGUAUGAUAUUGGGGCGCCUCCAGAUGCAGUGAACUCUGCGUAUUUCCAACCGAUGAUUGAUGCAAUUGCUUCAGGUGGUUCAAGGGUUGUGCCUCCUACGUACCAUGAUAUUCGUAGUUGGAUAUUGAAGAAUUCAGUUGAAGAAGUGAGGAACAGUAUUGAUAAACAUAGGGAAACGUGGGGAAGAACGGGUUGUUCAGUCUUGGUCGAUCAGUGGAACACAGAGUCAGGUAACGUUUUGCUAAGUUUUUUGGUGUACUGUCCUGAAGGAACAGUUUUUUGGGAAUCUGUUGAUGCAUCAGACAUUAUAAAUUCCCCGGAUGCGCUUUACGAACUGCUUAGGAGAGUGGUAGAGGAAGUUGGAGUAAAAGAUGUGCUGCAAGUGAUUACUAGUAGUGAAGAGCAAUAUAUGGUUGCGGGGAGGAGGUUGACUGAUACUUUCCCUGCGCUAUAUUGGACUCCAUGUGCAGCUCGGUGCUUAGAUUUAAUACUCGAAGAUUUUGGUAAUAUUGAGUGGAUAAAUACGGUCAUUGAACAAGCAAGAUCCAUUACAAAGUUUGUGUACAAUCAUAGUGCAGUGUUGAAUAUGGUCAGAAGGUCUACUUUUGGCAAUGAUAUAGUAGAACCAGGCGCCACUCGCUUCGCUACAAACUUUACAACAUUAAAACGACUGGUUGAUCUAAAACACUGCGUACAGGUCAUGGUUACUUCGCAGGAGUGGAUGGACUCCCUAUAUUCAAAGGAACCGGGGGGACUGGAGAUGUUGGACCUUGUUAAUAAUCAGUCAUUUUGGUCCUCAUGCAUCUUGAUUGUUCAUCUGACAGAUCCUCUCUUGCGAGUUUUGAGAAUGGUUGGUAGUGAGAAGAGGCCUGCAAUGGGAUACGUGUAUGCUGGAAUGUAUUGGGCAAAAGAAACAAUUAAGAAAGAACUCAUUAAGAGGGAGGAGUACAUGGUAUACUGGAAUAUCAUAGAUCAACGAUGGGAACAGCUGUGGCAUUCUCCUCUUUAUUCUGCAGGCUUCUACCUUAACCCCAAAAUAUUUUACAGUAUCAAAGGAGAUAUACAUAGUGAUAUUGUCUCGGGUACUUUUGAUUGCAUCGAGCGAUUGGUUCCUGAUACAAAUGUCCAAGAUCAAAUCAUCAAAGAGCUAAAUUUGUACAAGAGUGCUGCUGGAGAUUUUCGAAGGAAGAUGGCAAUUAGGGCUAGAGACACUCUGCUUCCUGGUGAGGGACUAAUCUUUUUGAUUGUUUUGUUAUUUCUAACUUCGGUGUCAUGACUUAGCUAGCAAUGCCAUAAGUACUAGCACAUCCGAAUAAGCCAUUCGAUAUGCAUUCGUGCAUGCUAAGUCAGAUAAAUAUUGUUGUUCCAAUUCAAUUGGUAUUUAGUAAUUUAUAAGCAUUUUUAUGUAUUAGAUCAAAUCAAGCCUUUGAUUUUGUUUAAUCCCUGUAAAGAUGGAGGCCCUUUGAUCUUUUGGGUGUAUUUGAUGUAACUAUGACACCGAAAUUACCUUUCUAGGAACAGAAACUGAACUUUUUAUCGUUGUAUUCUGUUUUUUGUAUUUGAACCUCUUUCUCACACUUAGCUAAUUUUAUCCACAAUGUACUUCUCUUAGCUGAAUGGUGGUCAACAUAUGGAGGAGGUUGCCCAAAUUUGACACGCUUGGCAAUCCGAAUUCUCAGUCAAACUUGCAGUUCGAUUGGCUGCAGGCGAAAUGAGAAUCCUUUUGGGAAAGCACACAACACAAGGAACUGCCUUGAGCGUCAACGUAUCAGUGACCUCGUCUUUGUUCGUUAUAACUUGCGACUGAAACAAAUGUAAGCAUAAAGCAAUACUGUAUGGAAUUAGGAAUGGCUGUUUAAAUAUAAUGGGGAGAAAUUCCUUUCCCUUUGCUAAUAAUAAUUUUUGUUUUUGCGCAGGGUUGGUAAGAACAUCGGACAAGAUGUUAUGGAUCCCAUAUCAUUUGAAAACAUUAGCAUGACCGAAGACUGGGUUACCGGGAAGGACAUGUGCUUAGAUGACAAUGGGAGUUCCGACUGGAUGGAACUCGAUUCAAACUCUGUAAGCACAAUGCUUCUAGGGCCAUCAAAUGAUGAUGCCGAUGACUUGGGCUCUGGUAAUUUUAUACUCGGAUGUGGAUACAUGCUAAAACCAAAUUGAGCUUUGUUCUUAAUCGCAUUGUACACUGAUUAACCUUGGUCGAUAUAUGCAGGGUUUGACGAUUAUGAGAUCUUCAGUAGAGCAAAAGACGGUGAAGAGGAAAAUGUUGAAGACAGCGUAGAAAAUCGUUAGAGCCUUAUCCACGAGUCAGUUAUCGACAUCAAGGACCUGUGGUUACGAAUCAUCGCCUUGUUCUUUGCAACCGAGCAGAGGAAGAUGUAGGGAAGUAGAUGUCCACAAAGGUAGUUUUCAAUUUGGAGAGCAGUGCAUUGCAUUGUAGGUGAUAAUUAGAAGCAGAUAGUUUGUAGCAAUUAAAAUGUUGUUAGAAAGAUAUAAUUUUCCUUUUUAGUCCUCAUCCAGUGACUUGUUAUCACAGAUGAAAUGUAAAAGUAUUAGGAAAUAGAGUGAUGAAAUUGUUCACUCUAAUCUUGGGUAAAUAAAAAGAUUAGAGUAAAAUAUAGACUUGGUUCCUGAACUUGGAAAUUAGUUUAGAAUUCGUCCUCGAGUUUAAAAUUCGUUAAUUAGAGUUCUUGAAUGUAACAACGACUUGGAUUCUCUCUCUCCUCUCGUCCCUUUGGAAUCCCUUGCGGCAAGGGACGGAUCGCGGCUUUAACAGAAAGAGUUCGAUGGCUUAUUUCAACUUUGAAGCUCAUGUGCAUGUCACAUGUCGAUGGGGAUUUUUAGUUCGAUGACAAAUUCUAAUACUUAAGCUGGUUUUAUAUGUGCGGGUACCCCUUUCACAUGAGAAGAGAGGCAGCGAGAGGCGUAUACACCUGGGGACACAUAUGGCAUAAUAAAUACUGCAACAGUUUAAGUUUUUAUGUUCAUGAAUCUAAUUGUUUUGCUAAUAGGAUGAAUCUAAUUGUUUUGCUAAUAGGAUAAAUAAAUCCUAAUCAGAAUGGCUGUCCAACAUCAUGAUAUUGUCAAAAUUAUUUAGAUAUGUUCAGCGUUUGAUACACCAAUGCAUUAUAGAAUUAAAAAAAAAAAACGACGUCUUUUUGAACUUGAAAAUAUUGAAUAUUGCAGCUGCCUUAUGGUAUUUAGAGAAAAUGAUAAUAAAUCUUGUUUGAAUUAUAGAUAAAAUUUUAGCGAUGGUCCAUUAACUUUAAUCAAAUUGGAGCAAUAAUCCUUCAACUAAAAAUUCAUGACCAUUAGUUCUUAACUCAUCAAAAUGUGCAGCUAUGAUCAUUUUCGUCAACUCUGUUAAAAAUUCUGUCAAUAUGAGUCACUUGCCAAGCACGCGAGACUGAAUCAAGGGGCAAAAUGAGAAACUAAAUAAAAAUACUGUACAAAAUGGUACCUCAACUUAACCCAAUUGGAGAAAUGAUUCUUCCAACAUUACUCAUUUUGAUGGAAGUUCCGACGGAGUUGACGAAAAAGAACAUAACUGAACGCUUUGAGAAGUUAAAGGAACCAAGGUAUAAAAUAUCGAUGAUAUCGGAAACAUCGGUAGUCCAAAAACACGAAAAUUUCGAUGGAAAUAUGGGGAUAUUAUCGAUAUUGAUAAAAAUUGAAUAAAAAUCACGGAAAUUGUAAGAAAAACUUGGAAAUUUUUAUUGAAACUUUGCAGGAUGUUUAUUUAGUCAAUUAUCUAUUAGUUUAUCACAAAAAAUUAGAAGGAAAUGCAUUGCAUGAUAGAUAUAACUGAUUUAAGUUGAUUAUAUAGCGAGCUGGCAAACAUUGUGAGUGUAGAAAAUAUAGUAAUUAAUGAAAGAAAUUUAAACACACCAUAAUCAUUUAUAUAUAAUGAAUUAGUACAAUAUUUUACACUUUAUACAUUGCAUGGUAAGAUACAUGAGUGACUUAGCAAUGUCUAAAAUAUCGAUGAUAUCUAUCGGUAGUCCAAAGAAAUAUCAGUAUUCCAAAAACACGGAAAUUUUGAUGGAAAUAUCGGGAUAUUAUGGAUAUUUUAGACCAUGAAAGGAACUAAUAGUCAUGAAUUUUUAGUUAAUGGAUCAUUGCUUCAAUUAAGUUAAGUUAAAGUUGAAGGACUAUAAAUUAAAAUAUCAUUGCAAAGAUUUUAAUUAAAAAAAAAUAGAACUUUACCGCCCUUCAUUAUUCACAUUACAAUCCUACUUUACGCUACAAUAACCCACUCAGUCAAUUUCGGUGGCCUACGAUGAGAAAGAAACCAGUUUACUUUUCACUCAUAACGCGACGCGCCUCCCCACUCGUAUAAAUGCCUAUUGCCUUGUCCCAAUUGUGACAUCGGUGCAACAACAAUGAACGAGCCCCUCUCUUUCUCUGUAACUUCAAACCCUUCUCCGUCUUAAAACUCACUCAGAACCUCCGCCAACUACGCCGAUUACUUCCUUCUUAUCACAUUUGCUGCGCCUGUUUGAGUAUCACAUUUGAUGAACUCUCGACACCUGACAACAAGGCGGGUCUUCAGGUUACUUGCAAGAAACUAUAAUCCAAAAAAUGAUGGUCCAAGGAUCCCUUUCCUUAUUAAUUACAAGAAGCAGCAGAUGGUUUGUAGCAAUUUAAAUCUUGUUAGAAAGAUUGAAAUGUUCCCGUCCGGUCACCUGGUUUUAACAGAUGAUGAAAUGUAAAAGUAUUCAGAAAUAAAAAGAUGAAUUUGUAUACUUUUAUCUUGGGUAAAUAUUUAAUUAGUAUUAGACUGGUUUUAUAUGUUCUAUUUUUUCAUGAAAUUAAGUGUGCAAGCUCUACUCAUAUUCUUUUAUGUUCUUGUUUGGACCUAAAAUUACAUCAUCGGUUCGUGCAAUCAAGGCCGUUAAGUAGGCAUAGCUCCCAACCGUUGGAUCGAAGAGUGAAAAAUAUUUUUUUUUAUUAUUGAAAGAUAAUAUUAUGAUUUUUAUCAUCAUAAUUAUCUUUUAAUAAUGAUUUUUUUUUUCUUAUACAACGGGAUAAAUAGGAUUCUCAUUAUCUCCGGUGAAAGCAACAAGCAAAGUUCGAAUUAACUUAGGUUUGCUGGCAGUGGACAUGUAGAUUGAUAGGAGAUCAUCAAGUGGGAUUUGACAUCCCCUAAAGAAAAAUAAGGUCCUGGAUAACGAAGACAUUGGAAACCUAGGUAGGCUAGGCUUUUUGUUUUGCAUGGUGAUGGAUGUUGUCAGAUGGGUUUGAAAUGAUAAGGGUACUUUGAAAUUUCAAAGUCCUCUUGUGAAAGUUUCUGGGCGCAGGGAGACUAGCGGGAUUUUUGUCGAAAUAUGUCAAAGAUAAUAUCAGUUAUUUUGAUAUUGUUUGUUGGGAUAUAUUCGGAAAAGGCUUCUAUUUGGAUUGGCGAUCAAGGAGACUCGGCUAUAAAUACAAAGCUUUCUCACAAAUCAAAGCCCCCUCCAAUUCAACACACAAAUUGCCCUGCGUAAACCCUCGCUCUACACGAAACCUCUUAACAACCUUGAGAUUUUUAUUUUCUUUUUCCGCCAACACAUCUUCAGUUUGGAUAAACAGUACUGUGAAGGUAAUUGGCAAACAACUUCAGUUUGGAUAAACAGCACUGUUGUCGUAUAAUCAGUCGACCGCGAAGCAUCUUUAGUUUGGAUAAACAGCACUGUGACGAGGUCGACUGGUUAUUUAACCAAGUCUCAGUUGAGAAGGAUUUUCGAAUCCUUAUUGGCAGAGAUCAUCUCAUUAGCCUUCUCGGAGAAGUGAGGUGUUACCAGGUUACUACAUUCGGCACCCUGAAAGUCGAAUUUGAUAUUGAACUUCACAAAACUAGCAACCUUGUCUUCAGGCUCUAGAACCCGAAGGCCGAAAAGUGUUCCCUUCUCGGCCGCAGUCGCAAGAUCAAGAAGUCAGCAGCGCAUCCGACGCAACAUCAACGUAUUUUAUUCCUCGGCCGUCGAGUUGGCACGCCCCGCACACAAUCGAAUGACGUAUUUAGCUCAUUAGUUACUUGGCCUGCGCGCCACGUAGGCUUGGUAGUUUUUAGGGUCAACAGUUCUAUUUUAUUUAUUUAUAUACUUUAAUAUAUCGCUGAAAUUGAGGGAAGUGACAAUCUAACACAACGUCGAACGAGAAUUGAAUAGAUAACCAAGUCAUCGACGUCGCAUAAAAUAUAAUCAACAAGGUGUGUCACAAAAAUCAAGUUUAAAUAAACACAGAAAUACUAGCAUAACUAUAAUCAUACAAAAGAAAAACAAACAGGCAAAAUACAAAAGGAAAAGAGAGUGGAUUGUCACUCUUUAUCUGAAGAACUUGGGUGUAGCCGGAAAUUUUCCACUUUGCAUGUAUCUCUAACUUGAUGUAAGAGAUAGAGACAGGACCAAUAAAUCCCCCAUUACGCGCUGGAAUCCUCACUAGCUUGGGUACCUGCAACUACCACACUACCAUAGGGGUGGAUUUUUUUGCCAAAUUGCCAUGCCAACCAAAUUGCCAACCGUGCCAUACCGAUUUUGUGCCAAAUUUUUUGUACCAAUCGGUAAUGGUACGGUAUUGUACCGUACCGAAAUUUCAUGGUACGGUAUUGGUAAUGGAUACCAUUAUCACGGUAUUACCGUACCAUACCGAAAAUACAAUAUAAUUUAUAAUUGAUAAAUUAUAUAAUAGAUAACUAUAUAACACAUAUUUAUAAUAUUCCAAUAAUUUGAAAAUAAAACCCUACUUAUAUUAGCAUUGUUGUUGGUGACUUUGAUCUCUUAAAAUUGUGGAAAUCAAACACAAAAGAGUUCCUAAUUCUUUCACAAAUAGCCAAAAUAUCUUUGUAACCCCCACUUCUACUGUUGCUAGUGAAAAUGCAUUUAGCCUAGGGAGGAGGGUUGUGGACCUUUUUAGGGUAUCCUUGACUUCUAAAAUAAUGAAGGCAAUAGUGCGUACUAGUGGUUGGCUUAGGGCAGAUGAAGUAAACUUCUACAAGGAACCAACGGAAAAUAUGCUUCAAUUUUACAAGGAAAUGGAAGAAGAGAAAACAAGAAAGAUAUGCUUUAAUUUUUUUAGUAAAUUUGUUAUUAAAUGGUUUUCAACUUUAAUUCUUCUUGCUACUAAUUAAUAUGUUUUCUUUGUUUGUAAUGUAUGCUUGACACAAACUCAAUCUUCUACAAGUUUAAUGCCUCCUCCAAAAGCUUUGACAUCUCAAGCUUGAAUAACUGAUCAAUGAAUUCUCCUUUUUGAAGUUUACUUCCAAUUUUCAUUUGGUUUGAAACUUUGAUUUCUAUUUGGAUUGUUAACUUCUAUUUGUUUUGGUUCGUAACUUCUAUUUGGAUUGUAAGCUUAAUUUUCAUGAUGAAUUUUGAUGCAUCAUUUGAAUUAUUAUGUGUGUGAAUUGUAACUAAUGAAUAAUAGAUGAAUUUAAUCUAUAAUGUAUGAGAUAAAGGUACAAAAAAAAAAGUUUUGCCCUUGAAUUAGGUUAAAAAAACAAAAACAGAUUUUGUCCCAAAACAAAAUGGCAAUUACCAUUGCCAUACCAUGCCAACCGAACUUUUGGCAAUACCGAACUUCGGUAUACCAAAAAUUUGGUAUGGUAAUGGUAAUAGAUUUUACCAAACCGAAAGUUUGGUACGGUAAUUGGUACAAGAGUUUUGGUACGGUAACCGUACCGAACCCACACCACCUUUACGACUACCAGAUACCGAGGGAGAUGAGAUAGAACCGCCUUCAAAAUCAACAUCCGCAUCAUCACAAGACCAAGCACUUGCCUUUCUCAAAACAUGAUGAUGUGGGGUAAGCAAGGUUCUAAAAGACGCUAGACGUUAGGUGCUAGUCGAACGGUGGGUAGUGGCCUAGCGUCUAGACGGUUAGGCUUUAGAAUAGUGGGAUAAGAAUGCACUUAUGAUGCAUGGAUACUUCACUUUGAUCACGUAUCCUGCAUACAAUAUUGUCAGAUACUCAUCUGGUACGUAUUAUGGUUAAGUUUGACAUGAUGGAUACACAUAUUCAACAUUUGAGAUACACAAAUCAUGCUUUUAUGAUACUUUUACACUUUCAAAUAAGAAAUUAAAAGAACAUAAAUUAAUAAGAGACGAAACUUUAUUUUGAAAUCUAAUGGAUAUGAAGAACUAACCUCUAAUUGAAACUUUGAAUAAAACUCUCACACUUCUUCGAUAUAUAUCAAGGGAAUUAGAUUUAUCAAAUGAAUUCAAAUUCUUGUGUUCUCAAAAUAUGUUCCAAAUUAUAUAUUUUUAUUUUUGUAUAUCAUUAUAUUGUUUUUAUUGCCGUAUCUAUCUGUUGACCCUAGAAACUACAAAGCCUACGUGGCGCGCAGGCCGAGUAAUUAAUAAGCUAACUACGUCCUUCGGUGAAUGCGGGGCGUGCCAACUCGUCGGCCGAGCUCGGCCGAGGAGUAAAUUUGUUGAUGUUGCGUUGGGUCGCGCUACUGACUUCUGCGUCUUGCGAUUGCGGCCGAGAAAGGAACACGUCUCGGCCUCUUGGGCUCUCGAACCUGAAGACAAUGUUACUAUUCUCACGAAGCUCAAUAUCAAAUUCGGCCCUCAAUGUGUCGAAUGUAAUAACUCGUAACACCUCACUUCGCCGAGAAGGCUGAUGAGAUGACCUCGACCAAUAAGGAUUCAGAAAUCCUUCUCGACCGAGACUUGGAUAGGUAAUCGGUCGUUCUCACCGCAGUGCUGUUGAUGUCAACGGAAGGUACUGCGAGAUCGACUGAUUCUACGGUGACAGAGCUAUCUAUGCCGACUUAAGAUAUCACCGGUUGCUUCCACAGUGCUGUUGAUGCCAACGGAAGAUGUGUCAGCGAAAAAAGGAAAAAGAAAAAUCACAAGUUGUGAGAAUUUGCGCAGGGCAAUUUUGUAUUGAUUUGCAGGGGGUCUCUCUUCCGUUGCCACUACCUCUGUAUUUAUAGGAGCAAAUGUUGUGUGACGCGGCCAAAUAAUUUUGUAGAGUCCAACUGCAACUUUAUUUUGUGGAAUUGACCUUGAUCCCGUAUCAAAUAUGCCGCGCAUAUCCUUCAGAUAAACCCUGAUCCCGUAUCAAAUACGCCGCACAUAUCCUUCAGAUAAAUAAAGCCUACCUAGGCUUUAUCACAUCUCACUAGAGAUCUAACCCACCUAGGCUUCUUAUUAAAAAACAUGAGAAACCUUUAAACCCAUAUUGCCAUCACCAUGCAAAACCAUCAUCUCCAUUGUCGCAUGCCACGUGCACAAAACCAAUCCCAAAAAGCCAUGCAUUAGGAUAGAAUCUCCAUAUUGCACAAUUCUUUUGCAAAUUACACGUUUUGGCAUGUUUGGAUUUAUCCCCUAUCACUUCAUUAUCUUUACAUCCCAUGCAUGCAUGUCCAACAAAACAAACCAACCUGUCCCCAUGACAACUCUACUUGCCUCCAUCCCAUUUAUUUUGCAUAAAAAACCGAGAUAACUUAUUAAAAAAAAUAAUUAUUAUGAUUAAAAAUCAUAAUAUUAUCUCUUAACAAUAAUAUCUAAACUUUCUUAUCCAACGGUUGAGAACCAUGCUUACUCAACGGCCUCGAUUGCUUAGGCCGAUGUGUAAAAUCAGGUCCAAACACUAUCGCAUAACACAUCCUACAUUUUAGAGAUUUUUUGUAUAACCAUGUUAUGUCGUAUCAUAUUGCUGUAUCUGUAUCUUCAUAGGAAUGCACAUAAUCCUCAAAACUCACCACCCGUUCCACCGCCAUCGCUGCCACCCUUCUUCCCAUCAUAAGCCCCGGGAGACGCCACUGCGUCAGGCAGCGCCGCCUCACCCUCCAAGUACCUCACCACCUGCCUCAUUGUGGGCCUUGCCCUGGGGGAAUUAUUUGAACACAUCAGCCCUAGCUUCAGCACCACAACGGCCUCCAGAUCAUCAAACUCACCCCCCAAUCUGUGGUCCACAACUUCAAGAAUUAAGCCGGCCAUCCACUUCUCCCAAACCCAAUCAACCAAUAUCAGCUCCUCCGGCAGGGCUUUUGGUUCAAUGGGUCUCCUCCCACACACCAGCUCCAGCAGGAGAGCACCAAGAGCAAACACAUCCGAGCUCGGAGUCGGUUUUCCGGUCCGAGUCAACUCCGGAGCGAGGUAACCCAGUGUCCCAGCAACCCUAGUUGUUGUAGGGUUUGCUCCAUGCUCAUACAAUUUAGCAAGACCGAAAUCUCCAAGCCGUCCGUUCAUCUCAGAAUCCAAAAGAACGUUUCCUGCUUUUAUGUCCCUAUGAAUCACAGUCUGCUCCCAACCUUCGUGCAAAUACAAUAAGCCAGAAGCUACAUUUUGAGCUAUCUUGAACCUCUGUUCCCAGCUCAAAAUUGCUUUUGGCUUCUCAAAUAAAUAUUUAUCCAAGCUCCCAUUAGGCAUAAAAUCAUACACAAGCAGCAAAUCUCCGCGCCGGCGACACCACCCCAACAACUGCGCUAAAUUCCUGUGCCUGAGACGGCCAAUGGUGGCGAUUUCCGACACGAAUUCCUGCAGACCCUGCCUCGACUCGUUCGAAAUUCGCUUAACCGCCACUUGGGUUUCUGAAUUCGGCAAUGUCCCUUUGUAAACCUUACCAAAUCCACCAAACCCGAUCACCUCUUUAUCCCUGAACCCUCUGGUGGCCUGCUUCAGGUCGUUGUACCUGAAUCUAUGAGGCCCAAUGUCGAGCUCCCACGGCUCGAUCACCUCGGCGUUCUUGAUCCUGUGAACAAUGUAGAAGCCCAAUCCGGCGGCCAAGAUAAAGAAAACAAGAACAGAAAGAGAAACGCCAACGAUCAGCGCUGAUGAAUGCUUCUUUUUACGGCGGGGAAGUUUAGGCAGAGCUUCUAAAUCCAGAGAUUUGGCUUCUCCGUUCAUCUUAAAGCUCCAACCGGAGACGUAGUGGGAGCUGGCAAGCAACCCGGUCGAAGCAGAGAACCCAACGUACAUAAAAUCUUUCAAAAUUGGAGAAAGAUCGACAUCGAAUGUUAAAAUCGGGGAUCUGGGUUUGAUCGAAUAGGGUGAAAGCAUGACAGUGACUUGAUUUUUCACCGAAUCGUAAUCGACCCAGGCCUGGAUCGGCAGUCCACUCUUGAGAUUGAGGUUCUCUUUCGUCGAAUUUCCACCGCUGAAAAACCCGGCUGGGGUCGAUUUGUUGGAAGCCAGGGUGUUGAUAUCGAUUCCGACAUGGUUGUCGUUGAUGUCCCCGAAUUCGAAGUCCUUGACUGUGUCGAAUUCGACGGCAAAGAUGUGGUUGGAGAAGUUGCCGACGACGGUGGAGUUGAGGAUGCCGAGGUACUGGCUGGGGAGGGAUCCCGGGAGCGAUUUCGACGGCGAGAUUAUGAAGGCAAGGCCGUGGCCGCCGAGCUUUGGGUACUGCGGGACGAUGGUGAAUACGAAGGAGGUGGAGAAGGAAAAGGCUUUGCCGUCGGUAGAGCUUUUGAAUCGGACUGGGGCGGAGUAGAAGGCGUGGCCGAGGACUCUGAGAGUGUCGUUUGUGAGCUUUAGCAUGCCGUUGGGCUCGAUUGAUGCGACGCCGUUUAAGCUCAUGUUGCUGCUGUUGGAGACGCCAUUGAAGCCGUUUAAGUAGAGCUCUUGGUCGAGCUGGGUUUUUGUUGGGUUUGGGAGGAAGAGGAGGAAAACCCAGCAAAGUAUGAGUCUUUGGAAUCCCAUAGGAAGUAGAGCCGUAGAGGUCGACUCUUUGCUGGGUCUCUAUUAAGCACAUGGCAAUGGAGUUCAGUACCAAAUAUAACUAAAAUUUCACCUUUAAUUUUUAAAAUAUCAUAUAUUUUUAAAAUAAACUUUAAAAUCUCUCAAAAAAAAAAAACAAAAUAAACUUCAAAAGACUUAAGUGCCUUCAACUUAUGUGGGCUCCUGGAAUGUUCUCUCCGUACCCAGUAAAUUAGUAAUUGUAAAAUUUACAUAUGCAGAUGGGAAUUUUUCUAUCCUUUCCUUUUUAUUUUUUUGUAUGCUUUUUUUACUUUUAGAGUUUUGGAUCUUGAUUAUUUCCACAUUUCCCAAUCCAAUAAGUAGAAAGAACAGUUUUUCGUUUUGUUCGUGACGCAUUUUUAAAGGCAAAUGUGGGCGGGUCAAUUGGGUUCGCGGGAUAAAGAAUCACCUCAUCAAUCAUAGUAGAAAAUGGUUUGAGAGCGCGUUUACUAAUCCAUAAUUAGAUUUAGGGGAAUUGAAUUAAGGAGGAAUUAGAAUAAGCGAUAAUUGGAAUGAGCUGGAAUCAGAAUUAGAUUCAUGUUGAAACUGUUUACCAAAAUUGUCUGAAAUCGGAGUAGAAAUGACAUUGAUCUAUAUAAAUUGUUUACUAAUUCAUAUGAAUCGAAAUAAAAUCUAAUAUAAUUACUAAAGUACCCAUGCUUAACUAAUCUAUUUUAUUUGCUAAUUAUUUUUGGUAAAACUUUUACUCUUUCAUUUUUUUUUAUUUUUUAGAGAGAAUUUUUUUAAGUAAAACUUUUAGUACAAUUUAAUAUGAAAGAAUAUUUUUUAUUUGCGUCUACAUAUUUGAGAAGAUUCUUAAUCACCCUAAUUUAUUUCCUCUUCUCUUUCUCCCCCUCUCCCUAGUCUCUUUUAGUAGCCGCUCUCGCUUGACCAAAACGCUCUCACCCACACCAUCCUCUCCAAUACCCACCACCACUACCGUCUCUCCUCAUUCCUCUCCUCCCCCAUCCUCUUCUCUCUCACCCUCCACGGCCUCAACUCACUCCCCCUCAUCCACAAGAUUAUCCUCAACGCCAACCACGUUCUCUCUCAUCCUUCUUCCAUGCCGUUCGUGGAUGUUCACCAAAUCCUCGUUGACAAACGCCCUGGGGAAUAAGGGUCUGCCAUUCACACCAAUCCAAGCAAUCAAUUUCUGACUUGCAGCCCUAAAUUGGUUUGCAACAUUUGCAUAAAGAAAGGUCUGCCGUUCUAGGACUUGUUCCAUAAGAACAUGACUCGGCCCGGCGUUCCGCCCGGGUUUGCAGUGUGUAAGGGCGGUGUCGUGGUGGUGGUCAAGGUGUAAGGAGUCGGCAUAGGAGAAACGAAGGAGAGGGUGCGCUAUUGGUGGGUGCAAGGGUAUUUUUGGGUAGAAAUGUUUGAUUCCAGAGGGAGGCUUCCUCCGGGAAUUCAAUUACCACCUCCAUGUAGGUAAUUGAAUUCUGAAAGAUUAAGGAAUUCGAUUCCGGAUUUUAAGUGGAUCCCAUUUACUUUUUCAUUCCCUACAUGUUAGUAAACGCCGAAAUGCUUCGAGUGGAAUGGGAUUCCGUUUCUUUCUAUUCCAUUCCCGUUUGGUAAAUACGCCCUGAGUUCAAUUAAUUGACUCGAGUCAAAUUGAAUCUGGAUCCUUUUUGUGAGGAUUCCGGAGAUUCGUGAAUCAUACAUCAUGCGAUCAGAAAUUAUUUUAAAUAUCAACACAAAUAGUACCUGACAAAAACUAACUGCACGAUGUACGAUAAACAGACACAAUUUACGGAUCUCUAGGAUUCUCACCAUGAUGACCCAUCCCUAAUUUUCUAUGUCAUUUCCUUCCCAAGUAUAUAAAAUGACGAUUAUCCCCUUGUUGGCAAAGUGGAACUUGACGUGGACGUUGUUAUUCAGCUUUUAAUUUAAUAAUUCGUUACUAUUCAUCCAAAGAAAAAUCAGAUGGAUUACUAUUCAUAUGAAGAAAAAUCAGAUGAAUUACUAUUCAUAUGAAGAAAAACGGAUGGGUUAGUAUUCAUGCAUAGUAUUUUCACUAUUCAUUUGAGGAAAAUUUGUAAAAUGAAUAGUGUUGCUACAGUAAUCUUUCCAACUUUAAAAAUCAAUCAUUCUCACCCACCAUGCCUAUCGAUUAAUCAUUCUCCUUAUUUUAUUUUACUCAUUAAUUAGACAUUCUCUCUCUCAGCUUCUCGUUCUCUCUCUCUCUCUCUCUCUCUCUCUCUCUCUCGUCGUGUCUCCCUCUUCCCUCUGCAAUACAGACACCAUCAAAACACUCCUAGCAUCCCUAGAAACAUGAAUCCAACCUAGGGUUUUUGAAAAUUAGAGUCCAACUGCGAGUCCUACAUCCUCCAUUGAAGCCGCGACUUUCCCGGCCAAUUUCUCGUCUAUUCCAGCCAAGCUGAGGUCUCUAACCAUCAUAUUUGGAUUCCUCUCGUUGAGUAGAUGACUUUUCAUAUAUAGAUUGUCGAUUUUGGUUAAGAAUUGACAAAGUUAUGGACGUCUAAAGUUUUCCAUUUUUUUGGCGAGUUCCCCAGUUUUCCCUCGGACCAGUUACGUUUCAGACCAUUUUCUAGCCAUCUCUAGCAACCAUUGGGCUUUCAAAUAGGUAUAAUAUUGUUCUACACUUUCCUAGAUUCAUUUUGAUAUAUUAUGGGCAAAAUUUGGUUAAGAAAUGAACUCGUUAUGACCAUUUGAUAUAUAUUAAUAUGACUUAUUUUUAGCUACGUCUUCUGGAACCUGUUUUUAAUCUCACUUUACUCUUUGUAACUAAAAAAUUGUCACUUUACUCCUUAAAAAUCAAAGUUCGCUUCACUUCCUUUUGAACUCGAUUUUGAUCCUAUUUACCCCCUGAAACUUGAAAGUCGUCUCUAUAAAAAUCAAAAUUCACUCCACAUUGCCUUAGAUCUAUUAAUUUCUUAUGUCGAUUUGAUAUGAGUGUGACAAGCUAAUCAAUUUAUUUUUUAUUUUUUUCGUCUCUUUAAUUUCUUUCAAAUUUAAUAUUCUCUAAUUGUUGAAUGUUAAUGCAUAAUGGAGAUUUAUAAUCAAAUUUAUUGGACUUGUGGCAUUGUCUUAUUAGGUGCUGGGUGCCACAUAUGUUUUUGGAGGCGACAUAUAAGUUUCAGGGAGAAGAGAUAGUUCAUAAUUCAAAGUGAAAAGAAUUUUGAAUUAAGGAGUAAAAUAGUAAUUUUUGAGUUAUAGAGGGCAAAAUGAGAUCAAAAAUUUUUUUUUAGGGGGCAUAGCCAAAAUAAGCCUCUUAAUAUUAACAAUGGACAAUUUCCUGCUGCUUGAAGCCCUGCAGCUAGGGGUGGGCAAACGGGUACAUGAACCGCGGGUAGGGGCGGGUAAUUCAGGUUUGGGGCGAGUCCAAAAUUUCUAAACACAAAACGGGACGAGGCGGUUCGGGUAUAUGAAAUUAUCGGGGUGGGGCAGGUCUUAAAAUAGGAGGGAACGGGCCCUCAGCUCGGCUCGUUUCUUUUCCUCAUCCCUAGUCUUCUCAAUCUCUCAUCCCUGACUCUUUUCAUUUCACUCAUACCUCGAGACCUCCUCCUAACUCGCUCACAGCCUCCUACUGUCCCAGCUCCGUACGCCACCACCAUCAUCGUAAGACCUCAAUCUCUCCUGAUUCACUCAUGUCUUCCUCGCUUUGUCCGUUGCCAUCAUCAUAGGCCUCGAUCUCUCCUGACUCACUCUCUGGAAAUCACUCUCUCUAACGAACUCAAAGGGACAUACGAAGUCAAACAACUCGAAACGACGUCUCCUCUGUCUAACCCAUAUUUGUAGGGCACGACUAUACUCAUAGUCCUCUUUAGUUUUAAGGUAUUACAUUUUAGGAUUUAGGAUUGAAAAUUAAAUUAGGGUUUUCUAGAUUUAGGGAUUUUGUUGGGUUUUUGAACCUUGACUUAUGUUAUGUUCCAAUUUCAAAUCUUUUAUUGAAUUGAAUUUGAAUCGAUUGAGUUUGAAAGUUCUGUUGAAUUAAAUUUAAUUUGGGUAGAAGAAAAGGUAGAUCUGAGUAGGGCAGUGUCGAAUCUCAUUGUGGGUGGCGAUUUGGAACUGGGUUUGGUGGGUUUGGGUCUAAUGGUGAGGUGGGCAUGGGCGAAGACGACAUUGAGUGGCGGUGGUUCGGGCGAUGCUAUUGAGUUAUAGAAGAAUACGAAGGAGGGGGUGUGGGCAUGGGUGGAUAUCGCAAUCUCAAUUGAAUUUUUUCUGGUUUUGUUUGUGAUUAAUUGGUUGUUUGUGAUAGUUAGUGAUGGAUUUUGACAUGCCCAUUUGAUUGUAUCAAAUUCAAACCGAUUGAAUUGUAUCCUAGGAAAAAAAACACAAAGGAACUGUGGACCUGUCCCGUUUCAACCAGGUCGGGUUAGGUCCGGUUCCUAUAUUAGAAAAUGUUGUCCCCGGCCUGCCCUGGCCCGUUUCUCUUAAGCCCGGGUUCAGUCCAGUCCCUUCGAAAUUGUGCCUAGCCCGGUCCGUGCACACCCCUACCUGCAACUGUACAACGAGUACCAGCAAUACAAAUAGUACAACUAGUACCUGCUAGGCUGCUACAAAUCCAUUUGGAACGCUCCCUCUAGUGCCUCAGAUGUCAAUUGGUUGCGGUGGAACAAUUCCAUAUGGAAUUUCGAGCAUGCUUGUUGUUAGAUUUGGCAUUCAUGUCGUGUUUUCUGUGUUUAUGUAGUUUUCGUGUAACACCUGUUAAAAUAAACAGGUAAUAAGACUCAACCCAAACUCAUCCCGUUAAUAUUAACGGGAAAUAUGACUGACCUGUUAUCCGUUAUAAAAAAUAUAUUUGAAACCAACAAUACUCAAAUGAAAAACAUAAUAUUAAAUUAGUAUAUACAUACCACAUUAUCACAUAAAUAUUAUUUUCAAAACAUAAAAUCACAUUUAUCUUUCAAGUAUCACAUAUAUAUUGAAAAAAUAUAUAUAAACGCCCGUAAUGAUAAGUUUUACAACUUUUGUGAAGGGCUCAAGUUCGAAAUUGCCACUAUAAUAACAUAAACUAUAUAUCAAAAUUUAACCGUUAAUUGUCGUUCACAUUUAUGCUCGAUUAUUCCCACCAAAUUUUAUUUUUUUAGAUUUUUUGUUUGAAAACAUGAUCUUUUAAAGGGUGCAUGAAGAUGCGGUUCGGAUAAUUGAUAUGACGUUUAGAGUUUUACUAUUAGUGAAAAUAUUGCUCGAAAGUAUAUAAAGUCUCUAGAAAUUAUAUAACAUCGACUUAUUUUCAAUUAACUGUAAAUAUCUGAAUGUGAUAUCAAUGAUCCGAAUCGUUCAUUUUUCUACCUCUGCUAAAAGAUAAUUGUGGAGCUGAAAAUAAUCAAGAAAAUUAUAAAGGUGACACGUGGACUUGUGGGUUAAAAUGAUAAAAUUACCCUCCAGGCAUACUGGGAUUCCUACACGCACACAACGGAUAAUAACGGCUCAAUCAAGAAAGAGUCAAAGGUGAUCAAAAUGAUAUUUAUUCAAAUCUCUUUCAUCAAUCCUCAUCAAAUCCUUAUUCAAAAAGUAACUCAUAAAACUACUUAUUUAAUUUGGAAUUAAUUAUCAUGUUAAUUGUAAAAUAUUAUUUCACAUACUAUCUUGCAAUUAUUGUCCAAUUACACCAUAUAUAAUCGGUCAAUAUUCUUCAAAUAGGACUAGCCACUUCUGUAUAAAUAUCCCUAUUAUUCCAUUAAAAAGUUAAAUCAUUUACUACCCACAAAUUCUAAAAUCGUGAGAACCCGUUUUUGGUUAGGUUUCUGUGGAGUUUUAAAAUCAGAAAAUAGGAUCCUUCCCCACUUCCAUCAGCCGGCCUUCUCUAUUUUUUUCUACAAACAUCAUCAUGACUUUCAGCGGCACGAUCGUUACCUUCCACUAUUUUUAAACUUUCUCACAACUCCCUAACUCUCUUUUUCCCCACUUUCUUCCCUCAUGCCGUGUCCGUCUCUCUUUCUUCAGUGCUCAAUGUUUAUUGUUUUUUAUUAAAAGUUUUGGACCACCUUACUUCCUUCCACUCACAAAUUUUAGUAUAUUUUACUCUCUAUUCCCACUGACUUCCACUCAACUCUCCCCCCCCCCCCCCCACCCCUUUUUAUUUUAUUUUAUAUUUUCUGCUAACUCUCCCUCCCUCUAUUUACAUUUCUCUCACUUCUCUCCUUCCCUCGAACUCUCUCAUUUCCUCUGCAUGCAGAGAGCUCCGAGAGCCCCAAAAACAAGGAGCUGCUCCUCCAUUUGGUUAGUAAGCAUCCAGGAACAUCCGUUAAAAUUAGGGGUUUGGUGAGUUGGUUGUCUUGUCAAAUCUCGGAUUAUCAAUGUGAGUGGUUUAUGUAAUGUGUUGCAAAUUAUACUUAUUUGCAAAUAUCUUUAUUUCAAGUCAAGUACGUUGGAUUUGUAGAAAUGCUUAGUAUGUUGGAUUUGUAGAAAUGCUUUUGGAAUUAUUAAUAUAGUGAUAUGUGGAUAUUUGGAAUUGUUCAUGGAGCAUGAGAAUUUUAGUGUUACAUUAUUCUGAGAAAUAAAUGUAAACUGCACACGAAGACAUUAGGGCAGAAUGAUCAAUAGGAAUCAUGUGAUGAGUUACUAUUUAUGAAGGAUUUAAUGAACACGAAAAUGGAUGAUGUGAUAUGGCACUACGUGCAUAAUGACUUGAUAUUAUUAUUGUAUUUUCUAUAGUGACUAAAAUGACAUUGCUUGACUGUCAUAUUACAUAUUCUACUCACUUAGAGACUUGUUGCUCACCCUUCACCCUUUUAUUUUACAGAUGAGUUAUCUGACAAGACAGGUACUAGACGAGCUGAGAUUGUGUUAGAUAAGGAAUUUAAGAGUUUUUCUUAUUUUUGUACUUUGUAAGGAUUUGUAAUAAUUACUUGUAGAAGAGAACCUUUGUUUUACGUUUAUGAUAGUUUUACUUUUAUUCACGCACCGGGCGUGGGGUUCCGCCGACUCUGGAUUCGGGACGUGACAAAAAUACAAUCUUUUCAAAAUUUUAAGUUUGGCAUAGGAGAUUCUUUGGUCAAAGCCCCCCAUUCAUCAUGGGCGCGUGAGGCUUUAGGCUUUAAUCUUAGGUUUUAUUAUUUUGCAGGUACAUUUUCGUCAAAGGAGAAGAUGACGGAAAUUUGCAUCCACAAUAAUGUUUAAAAAAAUCUAAAAAAUGAAUUUUAGUGAGAAGAAUAAAGCGUAAAUGACAAUCGACGGUUAAAAAUAAAAAUCUAAGGUUUAUGGAUUAUGGUGAGAAAGUUAUAAAGCUUGUUAUUACGAGUGAUAGCUUCUACAAUAAUUAUUAUUAAUUUUGCACUCAAAUAAAAAAUAUUAUUCAUGAACGUUUCUAAAUCUAAACUAUGAUGUAACCAUCGUUGCGCGUGGAGGAUGUAAUCACGAAUGUUUAUAUAUUAUUUCACAUUUUUCACACUUAUACAUUAAUUAUUAUGAAUUUGUUAAUGUGUUUGGUAUUUUUCAAGUACUUUGAUAUUUUUGUUUUUAAAUGUGCUUUAUAAUGUUUUAAUCUCAAUUUUAAGAGACUAAAACAUUUAUGAGUAUGACUGUAUAAGAGAGUGAAAAUCUUUGUUAAGUCGUUGACUUUAAAAUUGAAAGUCUGUCUUUUUGCCUAUACUAAUACUAUACUAGUUGAUUUGAAUUUUGGACAACCGUUCAAGUAAAAUUUAUCCUAGUAAUGAUAAUAAGAAACUCUCAUAAUGGAAAUAAAUAAAUAAAUAAAAAUUAAUUUUUUUUUAACUUAUAUAGAAUAAUAAUACAUUAAUAAUACAAUAAAACAUAUUUAAUAUACAAUAUAUACAUUAUGGCUAGAGUUUUUAUCAUGAAUAGCCAAAAUUUAGACUCUAAUUUCACAAAUGUCAAUUUUUAUAAUAUCUUUCAAAUAAAUAAGAAAACCACCUUGAACAAACCUAAGUACCCUCAUAAUAAAAUCAAAUUACAACCAUAAACUAAAAGUUGUUUGAUCUUAUGUGUUUGUUCAAAAAAUGGAGACAGUUCAAAAGAAGAAAAAAAGAUGGAAACUUCAGAUGUCACGCCCCGAUUCCAACAUUCGUCUAGGAUCGACGUGUGACGAUCAAGUGCAGGGGGUGCGAGCAGAUACAAACAAUAUAUACAAAUGAAUACUAGUAUUGAAAUGAACAAUAUUUACAACUUGGUAGGGUUUUGUCAUAAAUAUAUAAUUGUACAACAAAGGUAACGAUUGUAGGCUCCCAAUUACGUCCUGCUUGCACUUACACGUUUGUAUUGACACGUAUUAUCCGUGUAACGACCCAUCCCAAAAAAUUACAAUUUUUUAUAAUUUUAAAAUGUGAAAGUACGAAAAUGCCCUUCAAGGUGAAUGUGUUGACAUUGUUUGACCGCCUUGUUGUGUCACGUAAGGUCCAUUUUCUUGGCAUAUCCUCUUAGUACUCGUCGUGAGGAACACGUGGGCGCAAACGGAAUCGAAUUUGAAGUUAUAAUAAAAGAGUUAUUAACGAACGAAGUUAAGGGCAAAAUGGUCAUUUGACCAUAAAUUUGGAAGGCUCCAAAUUUUGCUGAAGUAGUUAGAUGAUGCCACAUGUGUGGCUGUGAUGGAAAGAAUAGGAGAGAAAGGAGGGGGUGCUGCCCAAUCGGGAAUGAGGAGAGGAGAGAGUGACCAAUCAGAAGAGAUAACAAAGAGGGAAAGGAAGGAAGGGAGAACCGACCGACCCAACGACUUCCAUGGUUUCCAACGCCUUUCACAGCUGUUUCCAGUCGAAUUAAAGCCACUCAUCACUUAAGAAACACUCCACGACCAUCCCUCUACCAAUUCCACACUAAAAUUGAAGGAAUUAGGCUCGGAUUCUUAAUGAACCACACCAUUGGGUGUGGUGGUUCCACAACGGCGAUCCAUCAAUCCUGAAGCUAACUUCGUCAACCACCACCACCAAUAGACUUCCCUUAACCCAGGAGCAAGGCCCAAGCAUUGGAUGAGGCGUCGGAGUUCGUUUAGGCAUCGAAUUGAGAACACUCAUUUCUAGGGUUUCUAACGGAUCGAGGCGUUUGUAGGCCAUUUCCCGACCAAAUUGGACUUCGGCCCAGGUAUGGAAGUUGUUCCUCUCAUUGAGAUUUUCAUUCCUAUAAAAUUUGGUGAUUUUUGAAGUUGGUCAGAAUUUGUGGGUUCUGUUCCCCGAAAACCGCCGUGUGUGGCGGCGAUGCGUGGGGGGAAACUCAAGGUCUCUUUAGGUCUUUCGACGUGCCGAAUUCGAAUUCGUAAUCCGUUUUUCCAAAAUUUAUCAUUUAGGUAUAGUUUUACCAAAUGAUCUCAAAUUGUGGUUUGGUGCAUCGGUGGGAAGUGACUCCAUCCUCGCUAGUUCAAGCAUUUCCCGGGCAACAAAAUAUUUGUAAGUGAACCCCUUCUUAACUUGCAUGGUUUUAUAAAAUAUUAGGUUUGCAUGCAUUGCAUAUUUCAUGAAAUGAGCUUGUUUUCUAAUAUGUUUUAUGGAUUUCUAUAUUCAUGCUUUUUGAAGAACUUAUGAUUUAUUUAAAUGCUUUUACGAGAUAUUUAGGACUUAUCGAAAUUACGUUUUAAAGAAGAUUAUGAAUGAUUGGAUUUUCGAGGGAUUUACGAAUAUGACUUAUUUUACGGAUUUAUGAGUAUGUGCUAUCAUGGAUUGAUGAGAUAAGGUUUUGAGCUUAGAGCUCCGAAUUUUGAUAUGAGAUUUUUGAGAUAUGUUUUCUGUACGUAUCUAGCGAGUUAUCAUACAGCACAUCCACACAACACGGGUAUGUAGAUGUCUAUGGCCAUAUGACAUAGUUGAGGAUAUGUGAUGUAUAUUUCUUAACUCGGAGUUGUACAACUUCACCUUCGGGUGAUGGGGCCUACCAUGUUUCUUCACUAGCGUAACCCAGUGUCGUACAGCUUCACCUUUGGGUGAUGGACAUGUAUUGCCUUUGGGCGGAUGAUGAGUUGAUGAUAUUUAUGCCAUACCCCCAGCUUCACUGCCGAAAGUAGUGUCGGACAGCGUUUCAUUGUCGAAAUCAGUGUCGGUGUGUGAUGUAUAUAUUUUCUUCUUCGGCGAAACCCGAAAUCGUACAUCUUCACCUACGGAUGAUGGGGCCUACCAUGUUUCUUCACUGGCAUAACCCAGUGUCGUACAGCUUCACCUUUGGUGAUGGACAGGUACUGCCUUCAGGCGACUAUGAUACCCUUAGAGAGUAUAGUAUUGAUGAGAUUUACGGAUUUGCCUUCGGGCGGUGAUAACACAAUUAUUGAGCAUCGUUUUACAUGUACAUGUUUUACGAAUGCAUUUCAUGGCAUGCUAGAGUUUUCAAAACAAGGGGCUAGUAUGUUCAGAAAUAAAAUAGUUUUCGUAUUAUCAGUAUUAUUAUAAACUUUGCUCCACUCACCUUUUCGGUUUUACGCCCCCUCAAGAGUUAGAAUCGAGGCAUACGAUCCCUGUGUCAGGGCAUUUCUGCUUAGGCAUCUUCGAGCCUCCUCUGUGUAGGUUCCAUUCCUCGGUUCGUACCUUUCCAUAAUAAUUCUUUCAUAUUAUUCUUGAUUAGUUGUAUGUUUUGAACACGAUUCUGCAUUUGUGUAUCUCUUUCUAAUUACAUGUUUUAGUUAUAUGCGUGUUUAAAAUGGCUUCGUCGCCCUCGGGUGUCGGCCAGCACGUUCCUACCCUGAUAUUUGGGGAUAUCGGGGUUGGGGCGUGUCAAUUCGAAUAUGCCAAGAAGUGUGGCAAAACAUGGAAAGAUCAUAUGUGUCCACGUAAAACUCCGCGUAGCCCAACAAGAACAUUUUCGUCAUUUUUCAAAUUUCAAAAAAAAUUCUACAUCAUAAAUAUAAACGCGUCGAAGUACUAUAAUACGGAAUGCAGUAUUUAUAUAGUGAAAUUAGAGGAUGAGAUUUCACAGCAAAGGCUCCGCCUCUACAAGUUCUCAACCGUAAAUGCUUGAGUGAAUUGGAUAGCAAUUAAAAAUGGGAUUAACGUCUAUAAUUUCUUUGAUUUUAUAUUAUUGGCGUCAGUUUUUUGCAAUUAGGUUUUAACUUACUGCUACGCCCCAAUCCCGACAUACGUCUAGGAUCGACAUGUGAUGUCACCAAGUAUCUUUAUAUCUAACAUACCCCGCUUUCAGAAUAUGUACCAAGCACGCUCAAGCCUCAAAUUGAGUAGUGAUUUUUCGUAUACUUUAUGGCUACAUCUAACCUCCUCAUUAGACUACCUAUGUACCCUCAAUAGGGAUCAAGCCAUUUGUAGUUCACCAUUCAUUACAGUUCGACGUUUAUCACAGUACGUUCAAAUUGAAAAGCAUAGCAUUCCUCAAUCAAUUAUUAAAACUUAACAAGCAUGAAUUACCAUAUUCAUGGCUACAUAACAAACCCACAUGACAUUCAAGGUUUCCAUUCCAUCCAUCAUAUAAAUCACUAUGUUUUCAACAUGAUACCUCCAUACACAUCAUGUAACAUAUCCAAUAACCAACGAAGCACAAUAUUGUUCUCAAGCCACAUUGAUCAACUAAAAUAAUCAUAAUAUUAACAAUGAUAUCCAACGUCAUUCCACAAUCCCGUCAAUUAAUCCAUUCAUAAAUCAAGGAUGCAUGAUCUUAGCAUUUAACUACGUUAAUCAAUCAAUAUGAUAACAUAUCAUUUCACGUAUUUAAUUAAGGAACUCUAUAAAAUUCCUUACUUGGAUUAUGAGUAACAACAUGGCAAAUCUAAUUUAUAUUCACAAGGUCAAAUGUGGAUAAUUCCCAUUCACUCGAAUCUAGGGUUCUAGAAUAACCUUUUGGAAAUGAGCAAGAGUAAGGAUUCCGGACCACUCAAGGGAACCAAAAUAUCAAUCGGUUUCUCGUAAUCUACCCAGACCUGUCGCAUGUAAAAUUAGUGCCUACAUCAUGGAAAUGGUGCACUGGGCAAAUCAGAACUUGGAUAAGCUGCAAAGCUCGGGUGAGUAACAAUAAUACAAGUAUGCGGUAUUCAAUAAAAACAGACCAUCAAUCAUAAUCUAUAAACAUCAAGUAUAGAAUCAUGCUUUAUGAAAUCAUAAUCAAGCUGCUGAAAACUCCGAAGGAGUCACCCAGACAUCCAACGACUUUUCUAAUUCAAACCACAAUAUUCUCAAAAACCAUUGUUCAUAUGUGCAUUAAAAACUAGGGCUAGAUGGAUGCAGUUCGGCCGAAGCCUACAUAAGUAACCAAACAGGAAGUGACCCCCCAAAGCGGAUUAACCAAGCAGAGCCACCCCUAAGAAAGUAACCAAGUAGGCAGUGACCCCCUAAUGCAAAUUGACCAAGCAGAGUCACUCCUACAACUGUUAGGAAGUGAUCACCCAAUGCGGAUUAACCAAGCAUGAUCACUCUUAAGCAUGCAUGGCCAUAGGAUCAUCCAACACGGAUUAACCAAGUGCGAUCCAUAUAUAGUAUGGAUUAACCAAGCAUACAUGGCCAUAAGGAUCACCCAACGUGGAUUAACCAAGCAGGACCAUUAAUGACCCCCAAUGCGGAUUAACCAAGCAGGGUCAAGAUAAUUAGGUAAGUAGUGACCCCCCAACGCGGAUUAACCAAGCAAAGUCACACCUACAGACCUGUUAGGCAGUGAUCACCCAACGCGGAUUAACCAAGCAUGAUCACCCCUAAGUAUAAAUGGCCAUACUGAUCGCCCAACGUGGAUUAACAAAACGCGAUCCAUAUAUAGUAUGGUCCCCCAAUGCGGAUUAACCAAGCAUGGUCAUAGUCCCCUACUAGCCCUCAAUUUACAAAACAUUUCAAUAUGCAAUUCGAAUCACUUUUUCACAAAUAUUACCAAUCCAUGAAUCAAAUCACAUUUAAUAAAAAUAGAUUGAUGGCCAAUUAUAAAAUAAUCACAUUUUAACAAAAAACACAUUUAUAAAACCAUGUCAUAUCCACAAAGGAUAUUAAUAUAAAGAAUCGGGUAAUCACCAUAUCACAUAUACUAAAGUUACUUACCGAGACAAGUCCGCAAAGCUUCACUGAGUCUCUAGUAAUACUAAUUUUAGUAAUUCAAAUGGUUCAAGACCUGUUGACCAAAAGUCGACGGUGAGGUCCACACCCUAGCAAUUUAAUCAGGAAGAUCCGCACAUCAUAAUCUAGAUCUGUAACUUCCUAUGGUCCACAUUAUGCUCAAAGAACAACAUACUAAAAUCUCAUCGCGAUCCGACGGUUAGAUCUUCGCCAAUUGCUAGAAUUUGGUGACGGUUAACAAUUAAUUUUACUAACUUAGAAAUCUAAUUUAGGAAGAUCCGUACUUGGUUACGAUCCAACGGUCGAAUUGGCGAUUUAUAUUUUGAUCAAGUAAUUUAUCGCAAUGAAACUAAUUUCAAACAAUCAAAUUACGUCAUACGGCUAUCAAUUAUGGAAUCAGAACAUCUAAUUAAACUUAGGAAGACAUCAUCGGCCCACUGGCUUCGUGCCGCCGUGGGUGGCGGUUGACCGUCCCGGCUCGUCGGAAAAUUCAACUAUUUUAAAAAAUUACCAAAUUUUACAGGCAAUUAGAUCUCAGUGAGGGGAUAAAUUUUUAUACCUGUGGCCAAGUCCAAUUCGGCCGGGAAGUGUCCCAAUUUCAUCCAAACUUGCCGAAAACCCUAGAAAUGGGUGUUCCUCGAUUCAUCGCUAAAACGAACUCCGACACCUCAUCCAAUGCUUGGGCCUUGCUCCAGGGGUUGAAGGGAGUCUAUUGGUGGUGUUGAUAGACGGUAAUCAUUGUCGGAAUUACCAUAAAAUGAGAAAACUCGUCGGAAAAUCGUGGACUUUGUGGCUUCGUUUGUAAAAUUGGGUUAGAGAUUGAAAAAUAUAAUACCACAAAGAUGUUGGGUUCGCCGAGGGCUUUCCAUAGACACCAAAAUCACCUCAAUCGGAUGUCGGACGGAAGAGAUACAACCGGAUCAAAGAACUGGGUUGGGGUUUGAAAUCUGGUCAAGGUUGCUUGGGUGUUUCCUCCCCUCUCUCCUUUCCCUCCUUCUUCCCCCUUCUGAUUGGUUCCCUUAACUCACGUAAAUAUAAUUGACCUCUUUGGGAAUUUAAAAUAAAUUUAAAAUCUAUAGUUUAGUAACAUAACUUCAAAUGUCCAUAUCUAUACCGUUAUAAUCCGGACUCGCAAACAACUUUUGCUUAUGCGCUCGUAGUGUCAAGAUUUAUUUGAAUACGUUACUUGUGACCUCAAAAGGUCAACGAAUUUUAGAUAAUUACUUUCCAAACUUCAAACUUUGUAACUAAUUUAAUUAAAAUCUAAAUCCAAAUAAAUUAAUAUAAUUUCUUAAAAAAUAAUAUAAAAUCUCAAUAAUACAAAUACGUAGAUUAUAAUAAUAAAAUUCAGGAAUGUGAUUUCACACUUAUGGGCUUCAAAUCGUCUCCAGAUCUAUUACUUCUAGAUCCUCGGGGUCAAAACAUCAUGGUCGUCAAUAAUAAACAGUGUGGCCCCAGAAAUCACCUGGGAGAGGGAGCAGUUGGAAUCGCCUAAAAUUGCCGAAGUUCGGCUUAGAUACAACUCGAAUCAGUUAGGGAGUUCCAUUCCACUGAGGGUUCCUCGUUUUCAUGUCUUAGUUUAUAUGGAGUUCCUAAACGAAAAGGACAUGGGAAGCAAGGGCGUUUGCAGCAGAAUGGGUGGGCUAAUCUUAUCGGGAAGCAAGGGUGUUUGCAGCAGCUUUCAGAGGAGAAAAGAGAGGGUUCAUUUGAUGGUAGAUCCAUUGAUGAUUGUAGAGGAUUUCAAAACUGUAGGGUUCUUAAUGAUUGCAGAGGAAAAGGGAAGGAGAAAACAUGUUGAAGUGAGAGAUUGAUUUUUACACACGAUUUAUUACUGACGACCAGGAUGUUUUGAUCAUGGGUAGGGAUGGGCAAAUACCCAUUGAUUAUGGGUAACUGUGGUUACCCGUCCAUUUAAAUUAAACGGUUACGAUUAUGGGUAACCGUUUAGAUAAAUAAACGGUUAUAGGUAUAACCGUUUACUCGCGAAAUUUAAAUGGGUGGUUAUGGGUAUUAACCACGGUUAUAAAUGGAUAACCGUUUACCCAUUUAUUUGUAUAUGUAAAACUAACACAAACCAUGUUCUCGAUCCAAUAAUACUUAGCACCCAAUAAAUUAGCAAGGAAUUCAUAGGUCAUUCUCUCAAUAAUACUACUACGAUGAUUCUCAUCAUCAAGGAAUUGGCCAAAUUAAUUUAAAUUCCUUGCGAGUAACCGUGAAAUUGACAGAAAUGCUUUGACAGAAAUGUCAUCUAAACAAAUUUUGUAACCCAAUAAUACUUAGCAAAUAUUAUAUUUACCUUCAUUGGUAACAAUUAAAAAUAUCAUUCGUAAACUAUUAUUUCAAUUAUUGGAAUGGUAUAAGGACUUAAAAAAUUAAAAUAUGGAAAUGUAUGAUGAAUGUACUUAUAACGGUGUUUAAUUGUCAAAAAAAAAAUUAUGACAAUUUUUUUUUAAUUUUCAAGUUGUUAAAAAACAUGUAAACGAGUGAAAAAAGGGUAAUGGUAAAAAAAAAAAAAGAUAAACAUGUUAAAAAUGAUAAAUGGGUAAACGGGUAUUAAACGGUUACGGUUAAAUGUGUGUGCGGUUAUGAGUAUGGUUAACUGUUUAUAAACGGUUAUGGGUAUAGGUAUAACCGUUUAGACAAUUACCCAACGGGUAAACGGUUAUGCGGGUAUGAGCAUAAACGGUUAUGGGUAAAUUAACCGCGGUUACCCGUCCGCAUAACCAUUGCCCAUCCCUAGGUGAUGCCUUGAGCUUUAGCAUGAAUAUGUAGUUUUUAUUUAAUUGCUUAUGAUAUUAUGCAUGCAUACUUUGAAUUAUUAAU